This 56495-nucleotide long non-coding RNA is filed under the name Musa acuminata (dwarf banana). RNAcentral describes it as "long non-coding RNA (MACU_LNC008793)". The record is from RNAcentral. Lineage: Eukaryota; Viridiplantae; Streptophyta; Magnoliopsida; Zingiberales; Musaceae.
AAUUCAGAUAAGGUGUUUCAAGGGUUUCUUAUUGAUAGAGCUAGGGGGCAGAUCGGAGUCAUGUCUAUUGGGCAUGGACCAACCUCGACUGGGCCAGCCUAUGUCUAGGGCUCUGACCCUUCGGACGGACUGGACUACUACCGCUUCGAGGACACAUUCAUUCACUGCCCCAUCUUACUACAACUGUAACCAUGCUGCUUUUCUUACUGGUGAAAACAGAUGAUUCUAAUAUUCUCGCGGGGGAUUUCAUCCUACAAUGCCCUUUUGGCACAACUCGAUGAAGCAUUUACGCGCUAGUUAGGAGUUGGAUUACAAGUUCCCCUCCCCGGGGUUUGAGGAAGGGGAUGCAGAGCCCUUUACCAAGCAUGCUAGCAAUGCGCUUGUCGGUGCUGAACAAAGUGUAGAGCCUCACUAACUUCAAAGAAUCCGCGUCAAAGAUGAGGACUAGUUUCAAGCAACUGUCCAACCAUCAUCAGCAAGAAAUCAAAGAGAAAUCACAGUAUAGGCAACAACCAUAAUUAAUGUACUUGAGGGAACGGAAAUCCGGUUGAUAUAAUGCCAGGCAGCGGAGAAAGCACCCGAAGUCUCUUUGCCAGAAGAGGCAAGCGCUAGAGUCUCGAAACCAGCUGUUCUUUCUGAGACAGCGCCCAGAGCAGAGGUAGCAUUAUAGUAAGAGAGAAGCCCCCGAUCAAAAGGAAGUACAAGGUCUGCCCCUAGAGAGUAUUCGGGUCUUCCAUCAGUCUACGUUCCUGGCAUUUCCAUCACCCGAAGCAGAAGAGAAAGUCAAAAGGAAGAAAACGGUGUUUACUUAAGCCCCCUAUAUUGAAUUGAGAAAAAGCACAUCGAAGCGUAAGAGCACCCAAACACUAUAAGCGUAGUAAGUGUCCCGAAUCCAACUGUAAGCGUAAGCGCUGAUGACAGGAACUUACAUUACUUAACUCCGUUAGCACAACACAAGUAGAAGUAAGCAUAAACGCUCCGAGACGAGAGCUCUAAUGAGAAACAUGUUAAUUCCCUUAGAUAUUACCCUUGCAUGUUCUAUAAACUAACUAAGCACCCAAUCCCGCCUUGCUCACUUACGCCCGCAGCUUUCUGAAUGGAAUCUAUCUGGCAUAUGCUACAAAAAUGGAGUCAAAUCACUCUCAACUCGAAAGAAGGACUGGAAAGCUAAGAGUCCAUAAUUCUUGCUCUUAGCUAGCUGAUUGUGAAGAGAGUUUACAGUUCCAUUGCUUGAAGGUAAAGGUUUGCAUUGCUUAUAUAGUUUUCCCUUGUUUGAAGGUAAAGGUUUGCAUUGCUUGUUUAGUUUUCCCUUGCUUUAAGAAUGGAAGAAAAUCCAAGUUGACCUAUAAUUGAUUAAUAACACUGUGUCACUGCUUCCCUACCCUAACUCUUAUAAGUGUGAACUGAACCCCUACCCUCGCUGAUCACUUAGUAUUGUUUCAACCUUGCUUGUUUUCUCGAUCAAGCAUAUAAGAAUGAAUUCUCUUUCUCCGAGUUAGCGAGUUCACCCACUGCCUCUGAUCAAUAGGAAUCCGUUUACACUGCUUCUGCUUACUCUUACUCUCGUGAUGCGCUAGUGUGCGAAACCCCCGAUCAAGACUCUGAUCCUGAUCUGGAAUCCCUAGUUGCUUGGCCCUACAACUCAAAAUAUGGUAAAUCUGGCCUCAUUAACUCCACUUUCCACAGCUUAUGAUCUCGUUGCCAAUGCUCAAUCCUCUUGUUCCAGAAUGACGAUUCUACGAUAACUCCUACUCUCGGGGUGUGAAAUCACCUCUAUCACCUCUCUUGUAGACAAUGAGCAACAGCCUACUUAAGCUUUAUGCAAACAACAAACAAAUAAGUCUCUCCUUAAACCUAGAUGUGAAACACCUUUGCGUGAUUGCCUUCCCCUAGUCUAAUAGUAGAGUUCGGGUUAAGAAGGGAGUCCGUCUUUUCUGGAUAGAGUCAUUUGAGAAUCAAAGGAUUGAGCUCAGCUUUCAGGUACAGUCAGUCAAGGCAAGGGCUACUAAGUUCAUUAUAGGGUAGGGGAGCUUUUGUGUCAAUCAAUGAAUUGCCUGUAACUCUUCUAACGUGGCUUAUUAUUCGUUACUAGUUUGGUUAAGGUAAGAAAGAGAGAGUAGGCACCUGCACAACAAAGAAAGAGUAGGGCACCUUGCUAUAGGAAAGUAAUAAAACCUCACAGGCUUUCAGCUCCUUACUCGCAGCUCUAAAACAUCUAUCUUACAGCUUGUUCACUUGUUCUUGGAGUGCCGAGUCAACCCUUUCCUUUAGCUUAGAGUCCACUCCACUACUUGCUUGACAACGAGAAACUACCCUUUCUUUACUUAUAGCUUCAAAGCCUCUCUUCUUGCUACUACUACCUCGAACAGGACUCCUACUUGAGAUUCUAUAGGACUGCUACUUGGACUAGACUUUCGCCAACUCCUUGAAUAGCUUCCCGAGCCUAGUAACUUCAUGAAACACCGAGCCUAGUAACUGAAUUCCACAAGUAAGUCAACCACAAUAACUAGUAUGUAAACCAGCCUAUCCGAGUAAAAGAAGUCAACUGCCCUACAAAGUCAGUAAACACCAAGUAAGUCAACUACCUUACAAAGAAAGUCAGUAAACCAGAUCAUUGCAGUUCACGUUUUACCGUGUUUUUUGAUAGUGAAGGUGUUUUGCUUCUUAGCGAGAUCCCUUUUUCUGAAAAGUUUACGUUUUCCCGUGUUUUUUCGUAGCAGAUGCUUUUUCCCUCCUAAAGGGUUCGAUUGAAAUGAUCAUUUUGCGUUUUCCCGGGUUUUUUGGUUGCAACCAAGUUUUCCCUAAUAGCAAGCCCAUUUGGAAUUAGAUCUUUGCGUUUUCCCGUCUUUUUUGAUAGCAAAUAGAGAAAGUGAAUAGGACUUUUUAGGAUGGAAGUCAACUCUACUCUACUCCUUGUUUAAGGGUCAAACUAGACCUCUCCUCUGGCUCAUCCACCUCAGGUAACUCUGGCUCCCUACCUGCUUUCUUGCCAGUCGAACAAAGGACACAGAUCUCGUUACUUAUUGCUUAGCUUCCCUUUCUGACCCGACCCGACCUCAACUCUCACUGAUGCAACUGGAGCACUACUUUAAGGUUUCUACUUUAGACCCUCAUUUAUCUAGUAAAAAGUUCCUUAUUUCUAAUAAGUAGAUGUUUUGAAUGUCAUUGACCUAUGUUGGUACUUACUGGCUGCUCUAGUGCAUUUAUUAUUAAGAACAUGGACCCUUGACUCUCUAUCCUCAGGCUACAACUACCGGUAUUCACCAACAACAAGAAAAGUACUGGCAACCGACCUAAACUAUGGCUCUCAGACGGCAGCAAUUAUAAACAAGUUCUGUCUUCGUAGAUGUGUUCGUUGCGUUAGCUUUGUUUUGAGCUCAGUUAGCGCAAGUGCUUUCUUCGUUGGGAGUUAGGCCUCUUCUUCCUCUUAUGAAAUAAUGACAAUAGGAUUCUAUUCAAUACAGAACUCUAUUCCUUUGGAUUCUGCCCGGAACUAUACUGUCUGAAGCACCCAAAGAAACUACACUUGCUCCUUACUCUCUCCUUUAAGAAUAGAAAAAGAUUAUGAAGUCCUCGGCUCGGGAUGAAACUUGCCCACAAAGAGACUCCGCAGACUCCACGGAACUUUAUUUACUUACCACAACAAGCUUAGGGGCACUAGCAGAUUUCCUUGCUGGUUCAGCCACCCACUCUUUGUUUGUUCCCUUUCUUGGUCUAAAGUCAAAGAUUCAUUUCCAUUGUCUAACUCGCGAAACAGGACUUUCGAGCGCAGAGGAGCAGAUUGCAGUGCUGGAAUGGAUUUGAGUGCUCAGAUAGGUACGGAUAGGAAUAGCCCUUAGAGCCGGCUUGCAACAAAGAAUCAUCUACAGUUCUUUUGAGCGUAGAAGCCUGGGAUAAGAAGCUUCAGAUCGGAUUGCUUUGUCUCUCUAUCAGUAAACUAAGACUUCAUAUAGUGCUAAGAGGAAAACCGUAACCCUUUCACUCGGCUUCUUGGCUUAGCUUCUUAAUACGAUUCAAGUAAACUUCACUUUCCUUUACUUCCCGCUUACUGCUCACUUGAUACUUAACAGCUAUGUGGGUCAACUUCCUACUUUACCGCAACUUUGGCAUUCUAUUUUGCUUCUGUACAAAAGAUGCAACUAGCACCGCUUCUGAUCUGGAUCCAGCUUCAGAUAUUUCUCUUUCGUCGCCAACUCACUCCCUUCCCUUAUCUUUUGCCGAACUCUAUCUUUCAUUGCUUAAAACAAGUCAACCUUUCCUAGACGUUAGAGCUAGAGCACCGACAUCGACAGAUUAAACAAGGGAUCGGGAUCAAACUCCAAAGUGAGAAUGGAAUGGAACUGCUGAUUCGGGAGCUCACACUUCUGAUCCAACUCUGGAUUUUCUCUCUCUCUUUGGUCGACUUAAAGAACAAGAACCGUUUGCUGCUGACUUGAGAACGGAUCCUGCCUCCCUACUCCUACUCCUGUAGAUUCUCUGGCUCCAUCUUAUUCCUCAGAUCUAGCUUAUACUCCCGCGUUAGCUUCAUAUCCCGAUCCUUAUAUUACCAGCCAGCAGUGGGCUCUCCAAUUCCUCUGUUUCUUAUAUUACCUGCUUCACUGAUCCUAGAACUGGAAUUCUACUUUUAUCUGGAACUCGUCAAAAGUACUUAGCAGGCUCAACGCCCUAAUUAGUCGUUGUUUAAGCCACCCAGCUUGAACGCAAGAUGAAAAGAAUCAAAUAGAAGGUAAGCUGCCCACGGUUCUUAAAGUAGAGUGAGGGCGCUAAGAGAAGAGGUUGGUGGGUUAGACUAAGAAUAUGGAUUUCGUUUCGUUCCGGGCUUUCCCUUCCUGAGUAAUAGAGUUCGGGUGGUAAGGGUAAGGUCAUUUCUACAGCAGAAGCGCUAACAGAAAGGGGAAUUAUUGGAUUUUCAUGAUUUGACUUUACAGCCCUUAUUUAAGCUCUUGACUCGGCACAAGAAAGAAACUAGUGUUGUGCGUCAGGUAAAGUUACAGAAUGAUUUGUUUACUUUACAGAAGCAUUAAGUAUAGCCUGCCAGGUCCAGGUUAAUCAAUUGAUUCGUUUUGAUAGUUUAUGUAAGCAGUGAGAUUACUAGAGUUUCUGUAAGCAGUGAGAUUACCAGCCAAGCUACAUCCUUAUUAUAUGGCUAAAGUGAGUUACCCCGACAAACAGCGCGGGACAAGCACAAAACUCUGAAUUUCUGGAACUAUGGAUUCUAUAAGGUAAGAAAGAGAAUCCGCAUAUCAGAGGCAAUGAGUUAACCCCGACCAGACCCAAGAGUAAGCUAAUGCACCAUGAAACUCACUCCGAUAACCAUACCUAUGGCAACUGGAUACUUAACUGGAUAUCUAACUAACAGGCUCUUGUUGCUGACGCCAUGAAGAUAGGAACUAACCGAAAGCUUGUAUGUAUAUAAGGGCAGCCAACCCCCCAGUGCUCCUCUAAGAAUUUCGUUUACUAAUACUGAAAAAACUAAUGGAAUUGCUCUUGAAUUGCUCCGGGUUUUCCCCUAUGAAAUUCUGUAUUUCUCUUAUUAUAUCUUAUUAUAUCUUAUUAUAUAAGGGCUAGAAACACUAGAGACUUGACUUCCUCACCUGAAACUACAAGAAACAUUAGAGACUUGACUUACUCACCUGAAACUACAUCUGAUCUCUAAGCCAACUCAUUCACCUCUAAGCCAACUCAUGAACUUAGGGGACCGGAGAAGAGCACUGGAUUUAUUGAUUUCUUUCUUGCCUGGCCCUUGCUUUAGAAGUCACUCUGAACUCUACCUAUGAAAUUAGUAACAGCGUUCUUCUAUAUACCAACUUCCCUUGCCCACCUCUCUUCGAAAGUCACUGAGGCUCUUAGCACCUUGCCAAACCUGUAGAAUUGUUGAACAAGCACUGCUUCCCCUUCUUUAGUGAAGUAAGAGCCUCAUUCAGGUAUAAAAGAUGAACUCCAGGCCUUCAAAUAGAGCCUAUAGUUUCAUUCCAAUACGAGGGCAGGGCCGAUAGUCAAUUGCGAGUUAAGUCCUUUGUUUAUCGAGUGAAGUAAACCACCCAUGCCUAUCAAGUGUUUUAUAGGAAAUGCCCUAUUAAGCCUCCUAAAAUGCCCGUUCAUUCUUAUACUAGGGUUUAUAAGUGACCUGUUUCUAUGCUUCUAAUGUACCUGCUUCUAAUAGGGUAAUGCGCUAGAUCAUACCCAUUUCUAUGAUAACCCUUAGGCUCUCCCGCUAAUGAUUCUGUUUCUUACCCUUCGGAGAGUGAAGUCGAGUUUGGGGCUUACUUCUCACUUUCCUACUUGCCUACCUCAGUUAUUGAUUACAGUAUUCUCCAGGGCUUAGGCACACCGCGUAGCCAAUUAAACACACCGCUAGCGAGCAAACCUUUGAAUUACUAGGACUCGUAUAACCUUUCCCGAGGAAGCUUACAAAGGGGUCCGGGAAGGAAGGGUCGAUAUUCACAGAAUCCAAUCUUAUCUCGUAAAAGAGAGUAAUCGCUAGGUGAAAAGAUAGGGCUAAGCGGGAGUCAGGUGCGUAGCUACACCCAAAAAUCAGAAUAUGGGCCUGGAGGUUUGGAUGGGUGGAUUUGGAUUCUCAUCAUUGAUUGGAGCUGGUCCUGCAACUGAGGCUUUGGCCGGUACAGCUUAGAAGGGAUUAGUCAGCUAUUCCGUAGGUUGGGUAGGCCUAGGAGACUAAAGAGACAGAGACAAAAGGUGCUCAUAAACGCCCCGGGGGCUCUCUAAGAAAGAAAAGGGAUAUUUUGACUAGCUAAGAAGCCCCAACUUCAAGUGUUUUGCAGUGACAGGAGACAGUGAAUGUGGGGGUUGAGGGGGCGGAACCUAUUAAUACUAUUUUCGUUCUACGUACCUCAACCUCAAUUCAAUAAGGGGAAGUACUCUUGUACACAAAUUAUUAAGAAUCAGGUUAUGGAAUAGCAAUUCCUUGGAAGGAGUCACCCACGGAAGAAAGAUGAAUCCCUAAGGUUUGUUUUGAGAGCUGAGAUUGGCUUAGUCUGAAGUGGAUACUGAUGUAUUCAUUAGACCUCCUACUGCCGGCAAAAGAACGGAGAUUCUCCUUUAUCCAAUACCAGCUGUAGCAGCUACAGAAGCCCUAUCUAUGCUAUGAUAUUGUUGGUUUCUAUGCUAUGAUAUUGUUGGUUCGUAGCAAGAGUAUUAUUUCACAAUGUGCGAAGCGCUAGUUUAGCUAGGAGUUUCCUGGGCUCAGUCCUUUCGUUUUAAUAAGAAAUAUCCUGACUUUGUAAUAUGGCAUCGUGACUUUUCCUGUAGUUAGGCUAAGCUAAUAAGUUCUAGGUAUGACCCCGAAAGCUAAAGCGAAUAACGGGCGAGUCGAGAACAAGCCCCUCCCUUACAAAUCAAAUGCCUUCUUUGCUUCUUUGGGUCUUUCUUCGGAUGUGUCUUCUCGGGUACUUCAUCUUUUCCCUUGUCUUCUUUCUUUUUGGUUUGGGGCCAUAGCCACCUGCCCUUUCUUGUUGGUAUUAUCAUACAAUAUUUCUUGUUGGUAUUAUCAUACAAUAGAGAGAGAAUCCACUCCUUCCUACAAGCUGUAAAGGUAUAUAAAAACAAGUCAUCAGGAAAGGCAUACUACUCUAACUCAUGAAGUAUAAUUGGCCUAAGGGUAUUAGAUCCCCUUCCGGGGGUAAGGGUCCUGUGCCUGCGACUCCGGCUUAUACGCAACCUUUAGCGCAUGCCCACGAAAGAAAGAAUGGGCCCGCGAAAUGGUUGACUCUCGUCUCUUUAUUUAAUGUAAGCUUAAGGACGGAACUAUUAGAUGAAGCAGCUCUUGCUUUACGACCUCUGGAAUCGAUUCCCCUACUUUAAAGAGAUAGAUCCUCCUUUCUAUUUCAUUUUUCUAUUUCAGGCGUAUCGACAAAAGAUCUUAUUAGCUUUGCUUAGGACUUAGGGGCGUAGCGAUAACUCGAUACCUUCCUAUACUUAAGGGUAUUGACUAAUUACAGAAUCUAUAUAUUCCCAGAAGCCCGGCGCGCGAUAAAGACCUUCAAGGCCUCCUUCCGCCUGGUCUCAUAUCUAUCUACUCUCUGGUCUCAUAUCUAUCUACUCUUCUCUGGUCUCAUAUCUAUUUACUCUCUGAAAUCAAAGCUGGAGUGAGAGAAGUGAUGGCAUUAUUACAGGCUACCUAGAACGUCCAAAGCAGGGACCCAUUGUACUGGUUACUGCUAUUGCUAGUGUGUUUGUUACUUAGUGUCACAGGUGUUAGUGGACUGACAGAGCGAGCUGGAAAGGGGCUUUCUCCGUCUUUUCGGGGAAAAAGCGUCUGAUCAAAUCCAUCUGCGAGAGCUAGCUUCGGUCUCACGUGGUUUGGUGCCGAGGGACUUUCUUUUUUGGUUGUGGAAUGUAGAUAUCCCGAGAAGGAGGACGGAUCACAUGGUUUUCUACUUGGGGUCAGGGGCUGGGCCGAUUGACUGAACGUGCUUUGGCAGCUCGUGGAGUACUCUAUUACGGAUUCGCUCUAUUCUCAUAUUCUGGAGGGAGUGAUCCGGAUUAAGACGCGUGGCGAUACCUGCGAAAAAGAAAGCCAAAGCCCUAUUUUUCUCGCUUUUCGUUUUUCGUACUCUUAUGAGAGUCUGGGGUGGGGUAUUUCGGGGAGAAUUCUUCAGCGCACUAAAAUCGAGUGGUCAGAUUCAUGAAAAGCCGGGGCUCGGGCUCAGGCUCCCAAAAACAGGACUUACGCUUAGUGAUUCCUUUCCUUUGAAAAUUCAUAACUGGUGUGGGGGGCCGGCUCUUGAAAUGCAUUUUUUCCUAAAACAUCUUACUGGUCUGUCAGGUUGGGUUCCCUUGCGCUACAGCUAACUCAUGAAGUAUACCUUACCUACCUUCACUCAACUACAAAGAAAGUAUGUCCUAUUAUUAUGUUAUUCACCCUUGAAGUUAAGAAUAGAAUGGUUAACCGUAACGAAAACAUAUACGAAGACAGGACUUGGUUAUAGCUCAUAAUAGCUCCUGGUUUUGUCAAAUCACCUCUAUCUACAGACUCGGUUAAGCCUUUCACUCCUGGAAUAAUACUGGACUUGUACAGGGCACCGAACUAACAAACAUUAUGAGUUUAUGACUCUCUCUCUAUCCUUAACUUACCACUAUAAGUCUGAUGUCGGGUUCAUAGGGCUUCUACCGAUGAUUUCCAUUAUUGAUUUCAAUUGGCACCUAGUUAAUGUUGGGCGCGGGGGUAGUAAUGCUCUCUAUUCAACUACUCCGUUUCUGUCUUCUAUUCGCUAUUCCUAGUUUCGAGAGACGAGGAUCUAAGGUAGGAAAGUGAGAGUCAGAGUCGGGAGCGGCAGGAGCUGUUCUGUUGGGUAGGAGAUAAAUAGGUAGUUGGGUAGGUAGAGCAACAGUAACAAAGCAAGAAUAGGAAAUCACUCAUAUAAUCGGAAAUCACUCAUAUAGUAUAUGUUAGAACGUUGCCAUGAAAAAGCCCUGUAUUCGUAUAUCCGGGGUAGUCAAUGGUAGUCAAUUCGUAUAUCCGGGGUAGUCAAUGGUAGUCAAUAUGGAGCCUGUCCCGGGUAGUCAAUAUAGAGAACCUUUACGUGGGAGUAUAGAGCUGUUAACGGGAGUAGUGAGUUUACUUCAAACUUUCAAGAUAGCUAAAGUCAACAGAAAAACGACUUCUAUUUCAACAAUACAGACACCGUAGAAGAAACCAUACCAAAUUCAUUAUGAUCUUAUUAUAGGAGAACGGAUUCCAUUGCUAUCUUCUAUAGGAGCCCUGACUUUAGAGUUUAGGUCGGGUGCAAGUCCUGUGUUCUUGCUUACUUGACUUCCUUUCUAAAGCAUCUUCUUCUUAUCCAAAUUCUUAUUCCGCUCUUUCAACAAUAACUACCCCACUUUGAUAUUAUUCAAAGACAAGAACUCCACUUUAUUAACGUCUAGAAGAUGACCUCCCGUAAGCACCGCUAACACUUAUUUGAGUUUUCUAGGGGUAGGUGCCUCGCGUAGUUCUACGAGUUUCCAGGGGUCGGAAUUGAAGUUUCACUUUACUCGGCGCAAGACUCAGUGCGUUAGGGAUCUCUGGAUCGGGGCUAUAAACCCUUCCUUUAUAUGGUCUUUCUUUUGCCGACGAAGUAUCUACUUAUCUAACUGUGGCUGGUGCCUCUGAUUCUGUCUUUUAAUCAGGUGUGGCUUGUUCAGUUGCAGCUUGUUCUGUGCGUGCUGAUAUUCUUUCUUUAAGCUAAAGUCAGCUCCAAGGCAUUGUAUAGAAGCAGAUGCAAUUCCUGCAAGAAGAUCUUCUCAGCACUCAAUUCCUGUUCGAGUGUAAUCAAGAAAAGAAGCCUCAUCUCUUUGAAAUUACAACUACACGGUAAAGUAGAAAGUCAGGAUUAAGGUCAGAAUCAAUUAAUGGUAAGGAAGCCUAAACCUCAAGCUCGGGUGUGAAAGUCGGAAUUUCAGAGCUCGAGAGGCCAGGCCAAUUAUCCAGUUUCAAGUCCAGUUUUCGAUGAGACGAGAGAGAGAAUCAACAGUGAAUCGGCAAUUCCGGUAGUUUAGUUCGGGUCAAGAAGCUCGUAUCAUUGAGUAUAGAAAAGAAAAGAGGGCAACUAGAACAUAUUUACAUACGCUCCAAAGAAAGAUUCAGAAUUUGUUGUUCACAACUUUCUAUUUGGUCAGGGAAGGGAGCUGCUGCUGUGCAAUGAAAGUAUCUCGGAAACUGGAAUCGAUCUUGCUCCUGUAUAUAUUCAAGUUCUAUUAUUCACUUCUAUGCAAUACCCCUAUAUUUCCACUCUUGCUCCGCCAAACUCUGUUAAUGAAGAAUUCAAUGGAACUAUCGUAGGCUUGGACAAUCAGUCCUUUCUCGUGGAAGGAACUCUACUCUACUACUUUGACUUUGUGUCUCAAGAGGGAAUAAAUGAGCAACGGAGGAAGCCACAGGGAAAGUAGAAGAAUCGUUUGUUGCUACUUUCACCCUUGAAAAGGAAAGAUGAUAUUGGGUAGCAAAAAACAGGCUCUUAGCGCCUUGCUUUUGAUCUAUCCGUUGCGCGUAAGCUUAUUUACCCACUAGCAGUGUGUGAAGCAUCAAUUUGCGCGGUAGGGAAAGGGAGUUAUUGUGUGUGUUGAAAUAGAGAGAGGCCCUAGAAUAAGGACAAGAUACAUUCUCAUCACCAACACCAAACCCUCUUGCUUCGAUAGCAGCUGAAACAAAUGAAACAAGAACCUUAGCCGAUGAAGACUGGAGCGCAAAUGACUCUGUUAGCGCAGAUCAAUUGCAACUUGAUUUCUUUCUCUUGCGCCUAUGAUCUGAUCUAUGAAUUCAUGGAUUUUUUCUCUCUCUUGCACAUGGGCUACUAGAUCCAUUUAUUUGGAGACUCCUACUAUAGCCUUUCCCACUUCACCCUCUGUCUCCGCAAGUGCUUAGUACGCUUCUUUCCCUGAUAGUAUAGUGUUUCAGGGUUCGGCUGCCUCUUUACUUAUAGUCGUAUAGUGUUUCAGGGUUCGGCUGCCUCUUUACUUCCAGCAGUAAUCCCAUUCCUAGACUCUUACUUGAUAGCGUCUGGUUUUCUUCUAAUAUAGUAGUUCCGAUCUUAUAGCAGCUUUAGUGGAGUCUCUUCUCUUGUCUUGCAACACCCUGACUAUCCCUCCUUUCCGGGCACAGUGGAUUCUCUAUCUCCUACUCCAGAUCGAGGUCUCGAUUCUCCUUAGGUAAUUGGUACUUUAUGAGGUAAGAGAAAUAGGUUUAGUAGAAAGCAGCUUGUUGAGAUGAGCCAGAGUCUGCGUAUUGGUAUUCAAUAGGUGUAGGUCAAGAAGCCCCUCUAACUCGCUUACGCUUAACUCGCUAUGAGUUGCUCGGCUCACUAUAUCCAGCAGCUGGUGCUUACUUGCUUUAUCUUGUUGCACAACGUCUUACUUCGUUGCUUGGUCGGAUUAAUUAAGGGCACAGGACUUAGUAGUCGCUUUUCUCUCUUAAGUCAGAAUUCCCAUUAGCCAGAGGGAUCUCAUAGAUUAGGUCAACUAACCCAGUUCUCUUUAAUAAUCAACAAGGUCUACCGAAAGGAAAGGUAUUUGCGCCCUGGCAAUACAAUUAUCUGUUCAUCUCUCUCGAGUCUCGAGCACAUGGUCCUUUUUUUGAUAUAUUUGAGUCCCGUCUAUUUUCCUGAACUCAUAUCUAUCAGCUCGAUAUCUUAUUCUCUUUGCUUACACUGUUUGCCUAAUCUUGUAUUGUCUGGUCAGCACCUAUAGCUAUUGAUCUGACAUGCUAACCCAACGAGCCAAUGCACAUAUCAAAAAAGAGUACUUGCGCAUGAAAAGGGUCCACUCAGGGAAAUUACUGCCAUUCCUUGUUGCCCUAUUAGUAAACUUCGACCGAGUCUGCGAAUUCAGGUCAAACAGGCACAACAAUCCAGAUUGAUGAAUUAGGUAUGAGCCCGCUUGCUUGUUUUUUUGAUCCCGGGAUCCGGACCCGAAGAUUCCAUUUGCGUUCAGUAUGGCUAAAGACCCCAUGUUCGAUUAGUACUAUUCAAAGAGAAGACAUUAGGUUAGGUCUGGUUCAUUCAAAGACUGCUAACCGACACGAUAAGACAAUUGAGUUUAGUGCCAAGUCAACUUCCAAAGAGCUUAUAAGGUAAGCCCUUGUUCUAAUUUAGGAGAGUCGCUUUCCAAGGUUGUGCUAUUCCUUUAUUCUAUCAAGGUUUUUGGCUAGCUAUAAAGCGAGGGUCCUGAUCGAGGAGAAGAAUGAUCAUAACAUGGAACAGGUCGGAAUCGAACCGACAUAUCUAGGGCAAACCUAAGCUCAGCUCCGAGAAAAAGCAAUCUUCUCUAUGAAAUGAAAAGAAAAACAAGCUACAGUCACUUUAGCGUUCGAAAAACACUUGAUGAAAGUUGAAGCAUGGCUUGCCAUUUGAUGCUACUCUUGGGAACAUUGAUACAUCGACUUUCAAGCAUCUCGUAAUUGAGCGAUACUACCUGAAACAGUUCUAACAUGGACAAGGACAGCGGAAAUGGAUAGAACGAGAGUGGAACUCGCAUGUCUCUCUUUUCCUGUUAGUUAGGAAAGCAAGAAACCGCUCCGCACCUUGACCAUAAGGCAUAUCUUGUGACACCAAUGACUUUAUCCCCCCUAAGGAAAAAAGAAUAGUUGAUACUUUGGCUUCUGAAGUCAGAUUGGAAUUUCUGCGCCCUCUGGUAUCCCGGCUGUAGCCGACCCGGUCACACAAGGCUAAGCUCCUGGGAGAGAACUACCUCACUUGACUAGAAAGGAAAAGGGCAGAACAGAACCUCUGAUCUAUGAGAAUUCUUGUCUAACAGGAUCUCUUCCUAUUGAAAUGAAUAUCGUUUACUAAGAGAAUAGAAGAGCGGAGGUAGACUUAACACCAACUUCUCGAUGAUGAAAAUCCUUCGUAACCUUUCUCAAAGAACCUGACGUGAACAGACGCUUUCUCGGAUAAAAGCUGUUUUUCUUUGUUUGUGUUUGACUUAGCAAGCCUCGAAGAAAAACUGCUGGCUAAUGUUCCGCACCAUAGAAAGAUUCUGAGAACAUAUAUACAUAUGGUUAGGUAGUAGCGCCGAAUAUGAAAGAGUCCACCCGUUAUAGUGAUCGCUAGCUGUAUUCGGUUCAUAAAGGUCUCAAUAAAGGAGAAAGAAGCGCCUUCGGUGGGGUGUGCUUAUUGGGGAGUAACCGACCCGCUUUGUUUUGUUAGAGCUUAUAACUCUGCUCCAUAUUUCGGGAUUUACAUGCUAGGGCAUAGUUCAUAACUAGAUGAAAACCUCUCCCCACAGGUAGAUCAAAAAACGAAAAUCCAUGGUCAUCUGGUUCAUAUAUGAUAGUGGCAUCCGAGUUGUCACAUGCUCCAUAAAAGAUAGCAAGCAAGACUCGUGUUUGUUGUUUUAGAUCGUAAGAGUUGACCUCUUCUCUUAAGUGCUCUUUACGAACCCAUACUGAAAAGCCUAUUCUGGAAAAUGACUCGUUCGCUUUGUUCUCUCAAAGACCCGACCACUAGUCAUUUGAAUGGCGCUCCCCCCUAUCCCAGAUGGGGCAAAAAAGCGAAUACAACCUUUUUCCUUCUCGUAUCUCUAGUUCUGACACAGGUAUAGAAGACAUCCUUUGUUAGGCGUGUGUCUUUCCUAUACAUACAAUAAUUCAUGAGGUAUUUCUGCACCUUGUUUUUAUAAACGUAGGCAAACUCACCUAUUAAAGCUCUUCCUCCUUUCUACCGACAGCUCCUCCUCCUUUCUACCGACGCAAGAAAUACCAGACCAACUAUCCUAUCUAAGAAGACAGGGCACAGCACGCAACGGAAGACAUGUCAAAAAGGCCCCUAUUAUAUCUUAAUAAAAGCCUAUUUACCUCAAUAUCGGGCGAGGGAAUCAAGCUCAAUCACCGCUCAAGGCAUGGGAGCCACUCUUUCCAAACAGAGCGGUUUUCUCUUCUUUUCUUUAAGGUAGGUGGGAUUCAUCAAUCCUAUAUAGGAAAAUGGAGGGAAUGGAUCGAAACCAGAAAUAUGACACUUUGUAGCCCGCUGCUAAGGAAUUCUCAGAGGUAGGAAUUCCACUCCCAUCUUUGUCACUAUCAAAAUCUUUGUCACUAUCAAUAUCUUUGAAACUAGGAGAGUCAGAUUUCCUACUUCUUAUCCUACGAGAAAAACUGGAAUCAGGUAGGUAAGCUCGAUCUAGCUAUCUAGUUUCGGAUUGGACGGGGAUGAAGCUAAUCUUCCAAAUGGCAGGGAUAGGCUUUCUUCUCGCUCAGCGAGUUGCUCCACUUCCGGGGGCAGAUGGGCUGGGUCGGUUGCUGGAUACCGGCUAGCUCAAUUCGGUUAUAGAGGGGCAAAGCUUAGACUAUAAGUACAGGUACAGUGCCAGUGAGAAAGUAAGGUGUAUGACCAAUAUUCUGCAUUCGAUACUUUUGAAUCAAACCCUCGCUACUCAGAAUUGACCUAGGGGGAAGUAGUUUCAGAAUUCCACUCAUAGGUAUAAGCCUUAAACGUGUGUGGGGGCAGCUAGUCAAUAUCAGCCUUAAAGCGGGGGCAGUGAGAAUGCAACCAGGGAGUCAAAGUCUGGGAUCAGACAGAAGUACAGCAAGAUGUUAGGAAGAAAUGCAUUCGUUGACCCAGGAAAAGAGGGAGCCAGGUAGUGAACUAAAGAAUAGAGUUUCAGAAUCCAAUUAAGAAUGGUGUUUAUCCGACGCUAACAAACAGUACUUUAGAAAAAGGGUUGACUUUAUUACUACUUGAGAGAAAGAGCACUAGGCGAAGUGUUACCAGAUUCUAUCUUACCUGGGCGCGGAAAUGAAUAAGGGGCUAUAAAGUAAGGUGAGUUGAAAGGGUUGUUACUGUACUCUAUCAGUUUUCUAUUCCGUUUUCUAUUAAGGGAGUUUAUAGAGUUGUUACUAAUUUCUAUUAAGGGAGUUUAGAGGUUUAUUACUGGAUUCUAUAAGUGUCGUGUCGGGUUGUUACUCAAUUAUAUAUGUGUCGUGUGUUGGUCUUAGAGUGUUUUUAUUGAAUUCUAUAUUUGGAAUGUAAUGGUAGAGAUUUGAUUCAGAAAGUGUAUGCUAGCAUUCUUUAAAGCUCAGAGUUCGAACAACAAGUCAAGAGAGAGUGAGGUUAGAGAACGAACAAGCAACAAGGGCAAUAAUGCAGAAAAGAAGAGAGUAAACGUAGAUAAAAGUAAACAAACUGUAUUGCUGACUUUUCCAAUAUUAGAUUGGCGGUUGUAGUGCUUAUGCUUACUUAUGGGGCGGGAGAACAAGCAAACAAGCCUAGUAUAAUUAAGCGCCUUAGAGAUAGUUUCGAGUUACGCAACAACAAGCUAGUUAGGUGUUACUUUCCAAUAUAAGUUGUGCACUCACACAUUAUAUAUCUUGCACUAAAUUCUAUUCGGAUUUAUUCCAUUACUUAUUGUGCUUAUUGAGUUGGGGGCAGGGUGCGUGUUAUAGAGCAACGAGUCCGGAGUAGGGAAAAGCAAGACUCUGUUUUGUUUGUUAAUUAAUCCAUUAUAUGCUAUGUGAGUUAUAUUGGAUUUUGACUUUAACCAACACUGUCCCUACACAGCUCCCCUAUCGUACUUGCAAGUGGAAAGUGGAAAGUCAAGUAUCUCGUUGUUGUAUCUAGGUUUGAAACCUUUAUAGUAGCAGACCGGCCUAGGCCUAACAGUUUAGGUGAAGACACUUUGGGCGAGAUCGUACCCUAGUCUCAGAAUCUAGUAUAGUAGCACGUGGGAAGGAGUGUACUUCUUACCAGAGUUAGGUUAGCAUUAGUUCAAUUAUUUACUUGGAGCGUACUUCUGACUUUCUAGUGCAAUUCUUUUGUAGUUCCUUGGCGUCUAGUCGUUGCUUGGCCUUGCUUGUCUACUACCUUACUAUACUUUAUAGUCUUGAUGAAUACUCAUGAAAACUCACUACCUGUGUCAUGUGAACUGAUUGCAAGUUGACUUCACCACCUGUAAGCUGCCAGUAUACUCAGUAGGUCUAAAUGUAAGCGUAAACGAGUUCUCUUGCAAUCUCUUUCACACACACUUUCCGCUCUCUCGGGGUAAGCCUUGAUCCAAAUAUACCUAUACAACAUUUCUUCUGCAAUAGGAAGCUCAGUCGGAUUCGAACAACAGCUUCGCUCACCUCUUUCUGAGUUUGAUUAGCUUCAUUGUCAUUCGCAUAACGUAGCAUUCUAUUACAUAGACAACGAUCACUAUAUCUCCUUCAUAAUGGAAUUGUUGUGAAAAGCGACUUUCAAUCUAUUACCCUUCACUGGCAUCUCAUUCGUAUAAUGUAUAAAUAGAUCUUUUAUCAUAUAAUCAACACUAUCAACACUUAGUAAACAAGGUAGAUAAAAGUGAACAGUUCAAAGUAGGAGAAGCAAGGGGCAAAGAGAUCUUCCUCGCACCGUUCCGAAUAGAAUAGAAAGUUCAAGUAAUAGGAAUAGAAAGUGCAAGUAAUAGGAAUAGAAUAACAGUCUAGUACAUCCCCUUGCGCAUUGUCUAUAACCGAAGGAAAAGCUUCUCUUGUUAUUAAGCAAGCUCAUUCUUUGAUCGAUAAUGUGGUGAUCCCUAUUAGUAUGAUGGCUACAAGACAGGGAUCGUUUUUCAUGGUAGUUUGUUUUCGAAGAGAUGCUCCUUAGUAUAUGGGGACUCUUUUGACUUCAUUGUCUACAGACCAUUGUUCACUCGCUUCCUAGAUCCUACUCUGAGUUUUCUUCGGUAUAAUACAGCCCGGACUUUCCUUCCCCAUGAGCCAGUAGGGUAUGGUGAAAAUCAUUAUCUUUCUCUGCUGGAUAUAGUGGAUCUUAGGCUUUAUCAUCUGUGAACUGGGCCGAUAUGGAUUUCCUCGACCGUACCUGCCAAGUGACUACUAACCAAACAACUACUGAAGACUUCACCACAAGACGGAAUUGACUACUUGCUUGAAACUUUGAAAACAAUUCAUUAAUCUAGUAGACUUACCGCAACUCAGUACUUACUACUGUUAGGUUUGUUUUCUGACUUCAAACCGGAGGGGCAUAAUCGAAUCAGUAACACUGCGCUCUUUAUUGCGCCCAAGGCCACAAAGAAUUCCACUGAUCCCCUGCUGUCUCUGCUCCAUCUAUUCCUGCGGAUAAUCCUUCAUCUGCUACUUCAAAGGACUGGACUCUUUCACUUCUCUUUUUGCUUCAUCCGAUCCUGUAGUUGCUAAGUAUACGCUUGGCUCGUGCUAUAUUUCUAAUGAUCUUCAGAGUGAUCCGCUGGAUAAUAGUAUAGAGUGAGUUCCCAUUUCCCUUUCCCUUUCCUUUACCUUUCUUUUCCCUUUCCUUCGCUAAUGGGCACGGCUGUUACCGGAGUAUAGGGCGAAGCUUGGACUAGAUCUUGACCAGGCAGCGAGAGAAGUGAUUUAAGAGAAUCAAGCAAAAAAAUAGAAUCAAAGUAGAAGAACAAGGGCGGGCCAGGCCAGGCUAUAAAGAGAAAUAAGUAAUCAAACAAACAAAGUAAGGUUAGAAGGAAAGAAAGAAAGUUAGUGCAGAGGAAGCACCCGGCGUAUUAGUAUCACCCGCCAAGUCACGUAUAAUGUUACAGAGACUAUAUUGAACUGCCCCUACCCCCUUUAUAGAUUGAUUUGAUAGGCAUGUUUGAUAGGCAAUAGGCACCUACAUCUAUUAUACCUCCUAAGGCGCGGCACCCCUACUAGGUACCAGUGGAAGGGAUAUCCUGAGCAAGUGGUGUUUCAUCAAACUAUACAAGAGAGGGCUAAAUUAGGACUCCCAUAGAGAAGGUGAACUAGCCCAAAGAAAGGUGCACCCGGAAUAACUCUAAUAAUAAUUUAUUGCUAUUCGAGGUCCGUUAUGAAAGUCUAGUUCUUGCCCCUAAAAGUAGUGGUCCAGUCCAAGCACCGAACCAGUAUUGAAGUAAGGUAACCACCUAUAGGGUCGUUGUGGAAUUCAUACAUUAGCUCCAGCCGCCUAUCCGUUUUCAUUCAAAUAGAGGUUUGCAAGGGAGACAGGGUGAAGAUCAAUUCUCUGAUUCAAUUGAGAACACAUGGCUCACUUUCAUUCUUACUUGAUGGUUUCUUUCUUCUAGUUAUUAUCCUUAGUCACUUUUCUGGUUCUCUAUAGGCUAUAGGCGGCAUACUCUACCUUUUACUACUAGCUUCACACAGUAAUUAAUAGAGUUUACUGUUCUUGUUGUUGGCUACGAGUGUCUUUCUAUUCGAGCAUUGUCCACAAAAGUUACGUUCUUGCUACGGAGCUCGGUGUUGUGUAUGGAAUCGGUAAUCUUCCUUGUUUAUAGACAGGUGAUAGAGAUUCCUUAUUUGAAGUAUUUGUUGGUUUAAGAAGAGUUGGGGUCAAACUAUCUUACAGUUGAAGCGCUAAGAGAAAAUCCUACAAGACAAGAUUCAUCGUUAGUGAGCGGAAUAGACAGUGAUUGGGGGUAGACCAUUGCACUUACAUGAGUACACAAAUGAGAAACCACUUUGUCCCUUAGCGCCCCAAGAGAAUAAGAGGGUUCCGCCGAAGAUGUCGCAAGGUAUUUACAGGGUUCUAUGCCUGGUGCUCGAUACAAAAGAUUCAAGGUUUCCUCACCUGUACUUUUUUCUGUAUCAAUUCUAUAGAAGGGGAUUGGUAAGAAACCUAAAGAAGUUCUGUUAGUCUAUAGAAGGGGAUUGGUAAGAAACCUAAAGAAGUGAUGUUAGAGUGCUUGUGUUUGGGUGGUGACCAUACUUCUUUUAUCCUUUUGAAAGAGAAGAUAUCCUUUAGUGGGGGCAAAAGCUGGACAAAGAUCUUAAAGACAAAGAGACAGGCGACCCCCUUCCUUAUAGUACUGAAGCGGAAGAAGGCAAUUCCCUAAGUAAGGCUUUCACACCUGACUGCACUAACAGAAUGGGUAGUCAAUAAUUUCCCUUAGCAAUGACUGAUUUGACUUAUUUCUUUAGUAAAGCAUCUGAUGUUGUAGACUUAACUGGCACUGCUGCCUUAUAGGAUUCCACUCGCCAAGCUAACCGCCUCCCCUAACAGAGACCUGAGCCCUGAUUGAGAGUACUUGCUUUGAUUAUGAGUAAGUCUUAUAGAGUCCACUAACACUAAGUAAGGAUUAGCUUGUUUCUUGCUUUCCUUACUUUCGAGUGCAAUUCUGAAAUGACAACUUUAGAGAAAGAGGCUAUGGUGAGUUACCCCUUGCAACAGAAUCAACAUUGGAAUUGGCUCUGUAUGAUAGAAAGAAGUAACCAAAGAGCCAGAGGAGAGGUGGGUUCGAGGAAUGUCGAUCAGAGAAUGAAUCAGCGGGCCCAGGUUAAAUAGACUGUAGCUCUUCGUCCACGAGAUCAGAAGCUUUUCCGGAGAAUAGAAUGUUCGAAAAUCAUCUGUGUAAGCUGUUUCAAGAGCAGACUCUGUUUCCAUAUUAUAAACGAGAAAAGAAAAGGAUAAGAUUCCAAAGAAAGAUAAGCUGUGUAUUUACGAAAGUAGGCAAGUCGGAAGAGUCAAGAUAAGACACAAGCUAUGGGGGGAGCACAAGGGGAAGAAUCAAGUACUAGCAGGGUAUGUAUACGAGUGUAAUCCCGAGUGGAAUCACUUAUAUAAGGAGAGAAUGCAAAAUGAAUCGAGUGUUUAAGUAUAGUAUGCUCAGUAGUUCUAAAGUGUGAAUCGAGUAGUCAAGAGCAAUCACUUUUGUGGGAAGCUGUUAAGUAAGAACAGAAGGAGAUGCCAGGCCAGGUGAAAAGAAAUGAUCAAAACAAUCAAAUGAAUCAAAUUGGAAGAAAUACAAAAAAAGUGAAAGACUACUUUUGAAACCCGUGUACUGACACAGUAUAGAAAACCCUACUAUAUUAUAUAUUAUCUUAUUAUAGGAAACCGUAAUUGGCUUGGGAUUCCACUCAUUCUACUAGUCGUUGCUUGUUGGAUUGAACUCAUCAGUAGCAGAGCCAACAGCAACAGGCUUUAACUAAGAACGGGGAAUCGAGCUAUUAACUACAGAGCUAAGCCAGCAAAAGCAAGGCGGAAACACUGCUUUCUGUUUGGCCCCCGGCUUACUACCCUUUCUUUGAUUCUGACUUCUAUUCUUAUCUGAAAUGCCGUAUUCUAUCAUUAUAUAUUAAUUAUGAAAUUGCUUGUAUUAAUUCCGACUUCCAUUAAUGUGUUUUCAUAUAUUCUAUUUGAGAUUAGAGUUCGUUUAUUAAGGUUCAAAGGCUGUAGCUUCUAUUCUCAUUUCUUUUCUAUGGUAGCGCGGGUGCUCGGGCAAGUCACAUCCCUAUUCUAUUCGUAGCGAUACUGCUCAAAGAAAGAGUUUGCCCGGGAGAGUUAGUGUCCAUGGGAUCACACAGCUAAAGAACGAAACUCCAACCUCGCUUUACUGUAUCUUAGCCAGAUCUUCUUUGCUUGAAAACUAUAUCUAGUGUUACCAAAACUCGGAACUAGGGCUUAUAACCUGUGAACUCAAUCUGAUCCCUCUACGAAUAAGGAUGGGAACUGCUAUUAACGAGAACGAAACUCGGAACUAAGACCUCGACUACUGCUUUUCUAAACCAAUCUUUCCCAGCUAUCAAACGAAAACUACUGCCGACUAGUUGGGCUUUGACUUAAAAGAUGCAAUUGAGCCAGUGCUCCUAAAACGGGAAUAGUGCCUAACAAGACCUUGCCCCAGAAUAGAGAAUUGAGCGAGUGUUCCCAAGCCUCACCUCUCUGACUUGAAAAACGAUAUUCCUCUCUUGAACUCUGAAACUCCUGUUCUAUAGGCAUCAAAUGCAUUAGAAGCUCCUGGCUACCUAACGCCGAAGAGGGUAAUAAUCAUAGAUGUGCUGGCGAGCAAGGAAAGGAAACUGAAGCUCGACCUGCUUUGGAUCUUGAUACGGACUCUCCACUUUCAUAACUUCCAAUUAAGUAGCCUUUAGACACAAGCACAAUCCACUCGACUUCUAUCUACGACAGUGAAGGGUGAGGUGAGGCUAGGGUUAGGAAAGACAUUUGUACUCAUGUUCGUAUGCCUCUAAAUCUGCUCCUCUAAAAAGGGGUGCCUCCGCCUCUAUUCAAUAAGCCGUUAAUGCAACAGUCACAGAUGCUGACACAGAUUCUUGCGCCGAGAUCAUCUACUGGAGAAGGAUCAGAAAGUGGGGAGUUCGGUUCUUCAAGUAGAGUUCCCGCGGAUUAAGGAGAAGAAUAAGUCCUAGUUAGUGAGUUUGAGUCUUGCAUAUAAAACAGGUAAUAAGAGAUGGAGAGAUGGAUUCCAUUCUGCUCUUUGAAACUGGGAUAGCGGUAUCGGUGCCUGAGAAGUUCACACAGAUUAGAUUGCCCCUGACCCCCGACCCAACAACAUAAUAUCAUGCGCACACUGAAAUAGAGUAUCUUCAAACAAGGGUUAGCUCCGUUAGAGCCCCAAGAGGAUCAAGAUCAGAAUAAGGAUCAAGGUAAGGGUCAAUUCCUGGAGAAGGUGAGGAAGCGGGAAGCUAUUCGAUUCUUGUUUCAUCGAGAAGAAGCUAUUUUCGAAACUAUGUCGGUGUUGGGGUCAGGAACUGUAGCUAUGUCUAGUAGAUUGGGGUCAGGAACUGUAGCUAUGUCUAGUAGAUCUUGGUGUUGCGGUGAAUAAGAGGCUCAAGCAGAAGCAAGGGAAUCCGCAAGUGAAAGAAACAGGAGCUACAGCCUUAGUUCUGGGUUAAAGCCUUGUUGGUUGUAGUGGAAUUCCUGGUGGAAAGGUUCAUCCGAUUGGUUCAGCUGUUCGAGCCUUGUUGUCAGUAGUGAAAACCUGAGACUAAUGAGUUGAAGCCUGGGUGUCGUGUUUCAGUAUAAGUAUAAUAAUAGCAUGACUUUGAUUCCCAGUUGAUAGCCCUAUUCUUAUAGUUCUUAGUUGAAGAGUUAAAGCAGUAAAGGCAGCUUUAAGUGAGGUAGUUCAGGUCUGUUUGCUAGUAGUUCCAUGCUUGCUAGUAGUAGCUGGGUUGUCCAUAGUGGUAUUUGAUAGUCAGGAAAGGAAUACUCCAAUAUAUAAUAUAGGUUUCAAGCUAAGAGGUGUAUAGGCGGAUAUCUAGUAAAAGCAUACUCCGUAUGGUAAUCGAGGGACAACUACAAGAAUGAGUGGUUGAAUGGGAGCUCGUUGACGGAGUUCAGGAUAUAGGUUUUCUACGGCAAAUCAGAAUUCCAUAAUUAGUAGUUAACCCAUGUGUGUAGACCUUCUAAUAAGAGUCCAAAUAAUAAGUAAGAAAACAACUGGGAAGUAUGGUUUUCACACUGCCUUUACUGGCUAAAGCUUCUACUUCAUUGUAGCAGGCUUCACUGCGAAACAAAGGAUUGAACUCAGCAGUAGCAGAAUCCAACAAGUAAGUCCACUGACCUAAACACAUAAGUGAGCCUGAAACUCCUUACUGGCCCCCAAACCCGGACCUCUACCUUUCUUUCUUCGUUUAUUGGUUUAGUAUGCCCCUCGGCGUAUUGCUUGUUAGUUUUAGCCUCCCUCGGUUAGGGUACCUCGCUAUGAUAGGACUUAAUAUGGUGUGUCAGUGUAUCAGAACUAAACAAAUAAGUACAGGAAAGAAUGGGAUUAGUAUUUACUUGGCUGAGUUACUUGUCUACUUUACUCGCUUUCAAACUAGCACCACUGCUUCGGUUCAUGGCUUCUUAGCUCGAGUCUACCUCUCCUUGGUUUGAGUAUUACUUUCCUGUCUACUGGUCUGCCUCUACUUUCUGAAAGUGUUUAUUUCCUUAUUCCGGGUUUCGCCUCCGCUCUUAAUACUAAUUAGGAGUGAGCACCAGUAAUAGACUAAAUAGGGGUAAGCAUAAGGAUGAAACACUACUCUGAUGGAUUGAACUUAUAACUAGUACUUCCCUACUGAUAGAAAACAACUCAACACUAGGGCCAAGCAACGGGCACUUCCAACCAGAAUGCAACCCGAAACUAGGAAUACGGAAUUACAGAAUUGACCUCAGCAGUGAAAGCCUGGCGAGUUGAGUCUAGGCCCUUUUAGUAAGUUGCAGAAUCAAGUACUUGCUUUGAUACAGAAGCUGGGUUCAGGGCAGACUAAGGUAAGGACGGAAUUAAGUACUUUGAAAUUGAAGCGAGGUCCACUUCAGCGGAUCAAACUCAGUUACAAGAUCCGUAGUAGAUGCAGAUUUCGUGGGAUCAGUGAGGUUUAUUUUAGUAGGAAAGAGUGUGAUUGGUUAGAGCAAGAUCCGUUGUGCAGUUUUAUAGCCUUGAAAGCAUUGGUUCUAUUCUUUCUAGUAGUCAUUCCAGUCUUGCUCCUACUAGUUAUAUUCUAGUACGCCCCCGGGGCAGUCUUUCUUUUGCCAGUGAAAUCCCCUUCAUUAGUAGUUAGGAGUGGAAUCCCCGGUUCCUGUUCUUGUUAAUGAACACCGAAGAAAGGAGAAGAAAGGACGUUGCUUGUUGCGGUUCCAUAGUAAGCAGCAAGCGGUUAUAAGAGUUCGGGUAGUGAUUAAUGAAGCUAUGUUUCACCUCUCUUCCACUUAGAGAAAAGCACUGGAAAGCAGGGUUAUUCGAGGCAGAAUCAAUUAGAAAGUGAGCUACAAAUGGUUCUAAGAGUCGAGUUCGGUUCGCCCCUAAGGCUUACUCUCGCGGAACUAUAAUAGGAACACAACAGCGCUAAGAUUUGAGGCGUCAAUGCACUAGAACAGCAGUUACAGAGGCCAGAGAAUCCGUUUUCUACAGGUCUGCAGCAGCAAGUUCAGAAGCUGUUCCUCUCGAAUCAGAAUAAUAUAAGGGAGUUUGAUUACUUGUAUAGAAUUGAUUUGGUCAUAUUCCUAGUCCGGAGUGAGAGUUGACUCUCUUUUCGAAUGCCCACUACCACUACGCUUGGCGCAAGGAAUAGUAUAAAGAAAGUGCAAGUUCAGUUCGAGGUCAAGUGGAAGGCAAAUCUGAAACUAAAUGGAUGAUCAUUCCUUUUUCGCUCAGUCUUCUCUACUAUUAUAUUCUGACUUGAGAGAUCUUAUUUGUACUUAUUACCCUAUAGUAUAGAAAUUGAUAAUAUAGUUCGUAAUCUUACCCUUACCUCGAUCUAUACCUUAUAGCGAUCAAGCCACUUUUCAUUCAACUGAUCGGGAUAUCUUCAGCUGGAUAAAUAUAAGGAGUCGGAUAUGAAGCAAGAUCGAAAGCAUAAAAAGUAGAAAGAUCAAGAUUUGGAUCUAAUAAAUAAGAGAAGGAUCUGAAGCAAGAACCAGAUCAGAAACGGGAUUGGAAGCUGAAGACAGGUACUUCGACUAAGUAGCGUCAGGUAUAGUUUACAGUUAAGUCGGUUCAUAUGCUUGAUAAGAAACAGCUUAGGAAUAAAAGGAGAAAGUUGUGUGUUGGGGGAGUAUAGAACUGAUUAGUGAUAUUCCUAUGAAUAAGGAUUAUAAGCCAAUAUAAUAAGCUAAGCUGUAUCUAUGAGUUUCCCAUGGCUUAUUAGAGAAUGAGGCCGCCCCAACACCUCGAUAAUGUUCUUAUGAAGCAAGCGAGGUGAAGUGGAUAAUUGCCUGUAAAGUAAGGGUGAAGUUUCCUUUAGUGGCUGUUGACAGUUGGCACCGAGAGAAGAGGAAGAUUUAGAGAACCAGCAGUGUUGACCUACUAGAGUUAGCGUACCUUUCACCUUUGCUUUAAGAGCUGGGACUUUCUUGAGGAUACAUACUAUACUUUGAACUUAGAGCAGUAGGGCGAGAGUCAACCAGUCAUCUUUCUUGUGCCGAGUCAAAGUAGUUGCGAGUUGCUUGCUUGAUAGCAUUGGUGACAGGGGGGGUUUCUCAAUCCGAUCCUGUUGUUGGCUUAGAGUAUCUUUUUCACCCUUCUGACUUUUCUGCCUCGAACCCUAAAAGUGGGGCAUCUAGCACAUGAAGUCAAAUUGCCUGUUUAUCUUAAGUGUUAACCACGCCCCUGUUACUGAAAUAGAAAUAUAGAAUUAGGCUUGCUCUUCUGCGCCUGCCUGUCGAUGUCGAACAACUGAUAUGGUUCCGACUCCCGGUUCCUGUUCGAAAGUCUGGUGAGUCGAGGUAGUCAAGCUAGUCCAGAGUAGAGGUAUGAUAGUUCCCAGCUGUAUUCUUUAUUGAUUGCCCAGAGGAGCAAGUAGUAGAGUAGUCAAGAGCCAGAGGAGAGGUCUUCAAGGGUAGGUCAUGAGCUAGGUAAGUCAGGAGAGGUGGGUUCGGUGCUUACCAGAGGAGAGGGAUAGUUUACAGAGUGAUAGGAUCAGAAUUAAGGUAUAUGAGCCAUAGGUAUAGAAGAACUUGUCACUAAUCUCUAACAGAGGUCGGGUCGGGGAAGUCAAGAAAGGGGAGUGAUUGUGCUCGUUGCUUGGUCAUUAGUAGUUGCUUGGUGACUUGAACCACUAUUCGGAAGGAAUGAACCCCAGGGGCGGAUGGAAACCCGGACUCAAAGACUUAAAUAAGAGCUUCGUAAUCAAACAAGAGAAUAAGAACCGCAGUUAUAGGAAUCGAAAUGGAAACAGGGAAACCGACUAACAUUAUGAGAAUGGAACACAUUACCUAAUCAUGAGACUUCUACUCCUUCCUAGCCCCCCGCUUCUACUCUUGUGGUUGUACCUGGCAUUCCAUCUUGUUUAUUGAAUUAUGAAAUUGCUUAUGAUGGUUACUUAUGUUAAUAAACAACAACUAUCAGAUUCAAUUAAGAACCACCAGGUCCAACUACCACUAUCAGACUUUUCAUAAUGCUAAUAAGGAUUUAGCUAAUGCCUAAGAGCCACCAAGUUACUACCAUACCACUCCACAGCUUACUUGAAUUCUUUUUAGUAGUUGUCCUUACCGCUCCUGUCUCUUGGCCUGUAGCUCAUACCUGUCACUAUGUCUCUACUUUGCUAUUGGUCUUACUCUACCACAUAAUAUCUCUGCUUCUAAUCGGAAGGCAUGUAAUUAUUCUAGAAUAAGUCAUUUCAGAAUCAAUAAAUCAACUAAGAAUUUCGUUAAGAAACCCAUGCAAUGCAUAGAUAUGAAAAUCCAAUAAGUAAGUUAAAGCAUGUAAGGCAGUAGUGCCAGGUUAAGAGACUUGAAAGAAAGACUAAACCUCACAAGCAAGAGCGAAAGGGGUUAUUAUAGAAGGGUCAGAUCAGUGGCUAGCAAGUAAGGUUCUAGUUCGGGAGUAAAGUCUAAGUCGAGGAAGUGUUUCCUAGGUUUUAUUGAAAGUAUGUUUGGGCGUAUUCCAUUCUUAUUAGUAUGGGUUUAAUCUUAUCUAUUAGUAAUUCCAUUCUUAUUAGUAGCGAUAUCAGCCCUUCAAGUGGGAUCAUACCUGACUUCUGUAUUCCCCGCUCAACUCUUUAUUCCUCGUUCGGAUCCCUGUAGUAGGUAUAUUCUUACUUAAGAGCUAUAGUUUUCUAGGCAAUAGUAAUAAAUAUUAUGAUAUGAUCUUAAUAUUUAAUGAAUAACAUAAAAGAUAGAUAGAAGGGGACAACUAAAGGAAUUAGGACGGGUCGCCUAAGAAUAGAAGUUAUGGCAGUAAGCCUCGUAGACAGGAAAAUAAGCCCCGCCGUUAGGGAAGCAUGUUUAGAGUUAGUAAAGAGUAGAAGGGUGCACCACACAAAUGAAAUCAUAAGGAACAGUCAAAGAAUCAGAGGUUAAUUACAGAUUGUAGGUCAAUAGCCUAUUCCUUCUAUGGGCAAUUCCGAUCCCACUUUGAUGAAUUUGAGAAACAGGACCUUGUAGGCGGGAAUUCGUACUUAAGCUAGGGAGUAGUGGACUAACACAAAAGAAUGGGGCUGAUGACAAACAGACUAUAGUUAGUGCUUCUCAUUCCCUUGACUACUAAAUAAGAUAAUGGGCCAAGCAACGGCGCAACAAGAACCUGUGCUAGUAACAACAGGACUAAGACUUCAACCAGCACUAGGCAGGCUUCAAUCAGUGCUGUAUAGCUCGCUACCGUUUUAACUCAACUCCUACCGCGCCUAAGUCUCAAAACGCCUGCCGCGUAACGCGAACACAUAACUUAUUCUUAAUUGGUUAUAACUGUCUAUUGGUUGCUGCCGCGCAGCGGCUUGCGCCGUUGCUUGGCCUUGGCGGUCAUUAGUAGUUGCUUGGUGAAUCAAAGCAGUAACAACUAGAAUGCAAGCAAGGGCAGCUAGUCUUCUUCUCUGAUUACCAAUUCCUCCCUUGCCCACCGAUUACCCGCAUUAGAGUUGAGGUCAGAAAGGGGAGUUUCGAGUUGAUAGUUGUCUGCUUGCCUGGCUUUAACACCAUCUUUAGAGUCUCUUUCCCCACUCUUUGAGUCUAGUGGUAGUAGUCCUGGUAGUCCAGGUAGUCCUGUUCGAGCCCCCACCUCUAAUUCCUAUGUCUUCCAUUAAACCCCUCGCGCACUUACCUGUUUCUUCACCUACUCCGACUCCUGAUCUUAAGGUUAACCAAUAGAUAUUUCUUAAGGUUGGUUUGUAUCUCUCCUAAGGCUAUCUUGAAAACUAUUAGGAGCAUUUACUUGUUUGUUGCCUUUUGGCCAUGUUGAAGUAGUCGAAAGCAGAACCAUCCAUUCCUAUUGAUCAAAGAAAGUCAGACAGGGUUUGUGCUGUUGGAAAUGCAUUUGUUGAGCCGAUAAGAGGGUUUCCCAAGCUGGGCACCCCUAAUAGAUUGAUUUGAUAGGCAAUCUGUUACUACGGAGUUUCAUUUCUUAGUCUACUACUGCUGAGUUCAAUAAAGAAUAAACCCUGCUUCAAAGCCUUAUACUUACUAGCGAACACAGGACUUGAAAGAAGGGCAGUUCAGUUGGAAUCAAGAGAUACCGAUGUAGACUCAGUAUUGGUAGGCCAAUAGACAGGAAAGUAAGAGUGGUAGCGGCAACUCAGAUUUUGUACCUAAGGUAUUAGAAUGAGAUAAAGGAGUGUAAGGCUAGCCCCCUGGGGUCAAUAGUCAAGAAAUGAAGUCAAAGACGGUAAGAAUUCUAUAUAUAAAUGCAGAGCGAACUACCACGCUAACGACUUCAACUAUAACAUAGGCAUGGAAGGGCGGGCUAAUAACAAGGAUAUUUAGAAUGAGAUAAGUAGCUACGAGGCUUCAAGGCGGUAGUGGCACGAGAGACAGUCAAAGUCAAGUCAGCCAGUGAGAGAGGGAAGGGAGAGUUCAAGUAAAGAGUCCGUUUUAUUGACAGCGAUUUCAGUCUGAGAACCAGUAGUUGGAUCCCCUGGUUUCGUGAACUUUCCUAGACUAGCCAAUUACGAUAAGGGGGUGAUCUUGACACUCUACAGACACAGCGGCAGGGAGUUGGGCUCAUGUUGCGCGGUAGGGCAGCUCUUCCACCAAGAAAAUAGGGAAUCAGUCAUUGAAACUCGCCUUAUAAUGCAUUGACGCCUAUAAUUUGACUGGUUUCAAGUCCAGCUACAUACCUAACCCCGCUCCAUAAACUGGCACAGAAGGAGACUCUACUGAAGUGGACCUCGCUUCUCAGCCAGUAAUCUACUCUUUUCUUCCCGGAACUACGCCUUUACUUUAUUCUUACCUUAAUCCGAAAGCACCUGCGCCGGCAAACUCCACUUCAUCACUUGCCUCAACACCAGAAACACCAAAGAAAGGACUUUUAGUAUACGCUUGGCUCUUAGCUUUUGUCUCUUUGUCUUUUACGUAGUGACUUGUCGGAUACACUGGAUACCUAACAAGAAAGAAUUCCUGACGCUCGAACACAAUGUAGCUCCCGAAAACUGGAAUUGUAAUAGAGUGUCCAUUUCCUCAUUGCUGAACACAUGGGUGAUACUACUAACACAGGACACUGCCGCGCAACUACAAAGGGUUAGUCACUUCUUCCAUUAUACCCAGCUACACCCUCUGAUUAUGUUACUUCCCUAAAAAGGGGGCGACUUUCCAGUAUCAUUCUGACUAGCAUUUUUGGAGCACGCCGGUUGGUCAAGUAAGAGCACAUGGUUGGUCACUUAUAUCUAUAUAUAUUCAUCCCCGGCUAAUGAUUCUGUUUCCUCCUGUUACUGGUCAAUUCCGUAUUUUGGGAGUAGAAUUCUUAGAUGCGGAGCGGCAGUACCCUUAUUGAAUAGAAUUGAAGUAAGACAAGACAACAAGAUAUACAAGAAUAGAAGUAAAGAGCAUUGGGUGGGUUGGCUAUAAAGAGGUGCUCGUGUUGUCGACGGGAGAUCAUCAACAGGAUCUUAAGCUGGAUCCGUGUUAAAGUCAGAUGCUUCAGAAGCAGUGCGAUUGUCAGCUGCAAUUGGGUAAUCAACAAUUCGAUUCUUCAACUCCAGGGUGACAUUCGAGUUUAAUCAGAGGAUUCCGCUCCGUUAGAGCGAGUUAGGAAAGUGGAUUCGAAUUCGACAUUGCAGUUUCGGGGUGCCAAAGAAUAAAGGUUCAGGGAAGUUCAGAGCGUUAGGGCGGAUAAUACAGAGGAUCUUUCGCUGGGAGGUAAAGUAUAAAGAAAGUUAGCUAUAUCCGGUAGCUAAUUCAGUAUCAAGUCGAGCUCCAAGUAAUCCUUUGUUGGUGCUCUAGCUCUAAGUCAUAGGGAUGGUUUUGGUAACCAAGUCCUGUCUUCGUAGAUGUUUUCGACAGUUAUUACAAAGUUAUUACAAUAGAUGUCUUCGUUGGACUCAAAGCAAAGAGACUAGGGUACUAGAUCAGAAUUCCACAAGUAAGUAAGAAGUCAGAUUCGGAGAACAAGCAAGAUGAAUCCGCUCGCUGACGAAGAAAGGACUGGAAUUGUAGUUGAUUGGACUCAGUAGUAACAGUGAGCCUGAGUUCAGUUCAAAGAGACGAGGUAAAGUGGAAAGGGGAGUAUAGUAAGAUAGGAUUGAAGCCAAGCCGGCAAGCUACUACUAGGAGCAAGAGGAUAAGGUAGAAGAUAAGUUAGAUGAGCCGGGAGUUUCAGAGUUAAUAAAUUGGAUUGAAGUCUGCUGCCCCAGUUCAAGUUCAGAAGAUUGGUAAUAAGGGAUAGGUUUCUAAGUCCAGUAACAAUGCGUAAUAUGGGUGAUAGCAGGAGGAUUCCUUAAUGCAAUACCCGAGUCGAGGUGGGCAAGGUUUACAAUAAGGCUUAACCGACAUUUGUCACAUUCUUUUCAGUAGAUUAUAGGUCGGGUGCCCAAACACUGGGGAAGUCGUUGAAUUCUUUGUUUACUACUUGGUUAGGUAGUAGUUGUCAUUGAAUCCUGCCCUAGCGCCUGCUCCUUGAGUGGAAUCCAUCUCUUACCCCCCAGAGAAAAAACAGAAAUAUACCCGUGGACUCCUAAGUUAGUAGUUACUUGUUGGAUCAGAGGUCGCAGCAAGUGAUUCUGUUGAGCCCGCCUCUCAAUCUGUUAUUGCAAUAAGUGAAUUUGGUGUUUCAAGCCUAAUACUCGGUGUUUACUCGGCUAAUAGAAAGGCAUUUUAGGUAAUGUGUUAGCUGACUUUGUCUCCGGGUGCCUCGCCUAGUAAGUAUGGGUCCCUAGCCUGUCUGAGGAAGAAGAAAGUACUGGCCUGGCUUUGAUACAUAAGCUGGAGAAGUCAACCAGUUUUCAUUCACAUGGAGGUUAGCAAGGCUGUUUUUAUUCACAUAGAGGUUAGCAAGGGAGAUGGGAUAGAUCUAGUCAAACUCCUAUAGUAAUUAUAAAUAAGAGAAUUUGGAAAAGAAAGAAGUCAACUGAACUAGGUAUUCUAGAAAAAAGUAACCAAGGAAAAGAGAAAGACAGGAGCCUAAUUCUGAUACCGGAUGCGCUACCAAUAGUGAGAAGGGAGUAGUUUCAGAAGUGAGAAGGUAAAGUGGAGUUGGAAAGUCGGGUGCCUGUACUGCGGUAAUAUAAUGGAAUUGCCUGUUCUCUAAGAUCUGAAGCGGGAAGUUUCGUUUCUAGGUUUAGAUCAGAUGUGGGUGUAGUGGUCUGGUCCAGUCGAAUCUCUAUUUGAAGACAGAGCAGAGGGCGAAAUUAGGACUCGCCAAGCAACUACUAAUGUGGCGCGGCAGGAGCCCCUUUCCAUUCUCCCCACAAGUUAUCCAUUGAAUGAACGGUGGUGAACUGCCCUAGCUUUGGUAUAGCAAGAAUUCUCCUAGAUUCACUUACUACAAGGAAGACCGGACUCAAACACCGACCUGUACCUGUAAAGCUGUAACUACUAUGGCUCUUAGCACCUUGCUUUCUUUCAGAAUCAAUUAGGCUCUUAGCUCCUUGCUUUCUUUCAUAAUGUAGUAGAUAGAAGCUCUUUUAUCUUCAUUAUACUCAGGAUAGCAUUGAAGAUCAGGGGAAUAUCACGCGGAGUGCAAAAGGGAGGAAUGGAGAAAUUAGGACUGAUAUCGAAAGUAGAGAAGUGUAGCCCAUAAUCCCUGUAAGACUUAGCUCCACUCAUAUUGUCUCGAAUAAGCUUUCCAUUUGAGCCAAAAGGAUGAGCUCAGAGUGUCAGAUAUAAGAGAAUCAAGCAAACAUAGAAAAGAAAAAGAGAAUAGGCAACUUACUUCCUGUUCGCAGGGAAAAAGGAAGGACCAACAAGCAAUUAAUGGCAACUUACUUCCUGUUCGCAGGGAAAAAGCACCGCAACAAUAUACCAACCACGCUGGAAUUGGCUGAGAAACCCUUGCAUUACCUAUUGGUAGAGUACAGGUACGUAAAUAAUGCCAGUUGGUAGAGUACAGGUAAGUAAAUAAUGCCAGUGGAAGUUAUUGGUAAUGAAUCUAAAUUGAAAGGGAAAUAAUCAAGUAUAUACUAGGGUUCGGUUACUCUGCCAGUGAGUAUAGGGUUCGUUCGGGUCAAUAAUGCGAGUAGAUUGAUUGGGGUGCGCGCUAAAGUCUCUUACCCGAUGAUGACAACUAUAGGGGCUUAUCCAUACGAGAACUUGGCUGAGCCUGAGCUAUGAAUCAAACUAGAAUUACUGUAGACCUUAAUAAGGGCAGCUGCAACUAUUCCGAUCCUAUGCCACUCUUCUCUUUAAGCGAUGAAUUCCAUCAUAAUCAUUGACGUGACUGACUAGAUACACUAAUGGCACGAUCGAAUCUUUGAAUAGAAGCAGAAGUAAUGUGCUUUCCUCGUAAGGUAAGAGAAAAGCUUUGGGCCGGGGAAUCGAGUUCAAAGGUGGAGAUCCAAGGACGAGUUCAAACAUUAAGGAAAGAGAAAAGAAUAAGAUACCACUCAAAUGUAAGGGAAAGAAAAGAAGAAGCUCAGCUAUCGUUUACUUCCAGCAAUAAAGUAGGUCACAACACUGAUUGAGCAUACAAAACCGGACUCCAUCAUUCAUCCCUGGUUUACUGCCCCAACUUGUAUACGAGUAGUGCAGUAAGAGACAACCGGUCAGAAUUGUCCUAAAGUAGUCAAAGAAUUCCACUAGUUCUAUUACUGGAUGCAGAGUAGCAGACCGCUUAGACCUAUCCCUUUACUGAAUGAAAGAAUGAAACUCAUAUUACCAAUUCUUCCUGCUGUUACUAAAGAUAUAGAAGAGAGUAGAUAUAGAAGAGAGUUCACUUAAGGGUUCCGGGCGACAGGCUACCACUAAAUGGAAGGGCUUUCCCUACUAAAUUCAGGGUUUUCUCCUUAUAUGAUAUAUAAUAGAACUUCUGAAACAAGGUAUAAUUCUAAAGAAGCAGGGUGAGUUAGCUUAUCUAGGAGAACUCAAGAAGCAGGGCCCAUACUAUUAAUUGCCGGUCUAGCAUUAAUUCUAAGGUCAGAGGCAAGAUUGGUUCAGAGCACAGAGUAUAGUUAGUUUCAAGAGCGGAGGCAAGCGAGGGGUUGUCUACGAGUUACUUUAGUUGCAGUUUACAGUUGGCACCGAAGUUGUUGUUUGGUCUUGCAAAGAAUUCUUUACUCAUUAGUUGACUACGGGGAGGUCGGGUCAGCUGGCAAGGAAGCACUAACAGAGUGGAGUGAAAAGAGCAAGUCCUUUAGUAUUCCCCGGUAUAUACUUAGUGAAUUUCCCAUUUCUGUGUCGCUGACUGGGCUCUCUCCCUGCAAAGCUACUUUUCGACUAUAAUAAUGGAUAUGCUUACCUAUAUGCUACUUUUCACUUGUUCCGAACCUUUCCUCUUUACUUUACUUAAGCCAGAGGGAAGAAAUGGCCUAAACUAGACUUCACCUCUUCUUACAGAGUAGCAAACACCAAACACGGAUUCCACUCAACCUUUAGUGUCAACUCAAAAGCCUGUACGCUCACCCACUCAUUGAACCUGCUCCCGAAUCCUAUAAGGUAAAGAAAGGAGUCUUCAGUCUUUGACUACUGAGUUGCAUUCCUACUAUUGAGCACCCGGCUUCUUCUCUUGUAACUACUGAUUCUCGGGUUACUGCUGGCUUUGGCUCUUUUGACUCCGGCUUGUCUCCAAUACAGUAUUCAAAGUACCAAUUACUUGAUUUAGCUAUGACCUACAUUCUUUGGUGAAAUAAGUGUUCAUGCUGCUUCUAAGGGAUGCGUUCCCCUACUAGUGGUUUCUUUGUAGCAUCUUUGGAUAAACGAUGGUUAAGCCGCAUCGGUCGGGAUCGCCCUUACUUGUGAAGCAGAAUAAUCCUUGAAUAAGAAGAUCGAGCCAAGUACUAACAAUAAAGAGUCAAGUGUUUUUUUAGUACUUGUUAGCGUCCCUUCACCCUUUCUAUGUACCCAGUAUAUGAACCUGGCCUAAUCUCAUAGGCGGCCCUGAAAACACCGAUGCAGCAUGGUUUCAUAGUGUAGUACCGGAACUUCUGAACUCAAUUAUCAAGAUUCAAGCAACUUUCUGCUUUUGCUCGCCGAUGGCCUUUUCUCUUUCUACGUCCCUGAAGAAAUUAGGACUUUUACCACAGUAAUCGUACUUUGCGCUGAGGAAGGCUGCCCGUUGCCUGUACUUUACAAGACUCUAUUCCCUUACGCUACAACAUCUCCUGCACCCGAAACAAUACAAACUCAUUGAACAGAUGUCCUUCCCCUCUUCUUGUAGUGUAGACCAGAACCCUAUUCUGUUUCCUACUCCCCUGAUUCUGUUUCCUCCCCAAGUCCUGUCUCUUUUCUAUACUUCUGAAGGGAGGUGUGGUUUACCUCUGGUUGGUAACUCCACUUCUUGUCCCACUGGAGCUCAAACAAAGUCAUUGAAUGAAACAAGUCAGUAACAGGCGGGUCCGAAAGGGUAGUUGGCGAACAAGUAUAGAUCGGGUGGGGUCGGUGAAGAAUCAAUUCCUUCUGAUGCUAAUGCAGGAAUCUAUCUCUUUUUGCCAGUCAAUACUAGAGCAUCUCUGCUAACAGAAUUCGGUAUACCUCAACAAUUUCUCCUUAGAAACAAGGCUUCCAUCUCUUUGAACUCUCCCUCUCCUCUGCCUCUAGCAACAAUACCUAUUGCUAAUUCAGCUGUUUCAAUACACCUCGCAUCAAAGCCAGUAGCUGAAGAUUCUUAUAGCAUUGGUUACUGGGUUGGCUGGCGAGAAAGAAGUAAACUUAAGUCACUCCCUACCAGCUUGCCCUUACAUUAACGCUUUGUCUACUAAAGUAUCAAUAUGAAUUCGAUAAGCUCCGCCUUACCUGCAAAAGUAUCAAUAUGAAUUCGAUCAGUGCUUUCCCGAUUAGCCCUACAGAGGCAUAGGCACCUACCCCGUCUUAUCGUUGUUUCUACUUUCGCCCUUGACUUGAGAGUACUCUUUUAUUGCUUAACUCGCUAAUGGAGCUCACUCCUACAGUUGCUCAAAAGAACUAUAGCACAAGAACUAUACCCCUAAACAAACGGAACUGACCUUACCGAACCGUACCCUCAAUGUGGAAUUCUCCUGUGAGUUUUUUCGCUUGCCUGUUCUUUUACUAAUGGGUGUCAAUUCGGAAUUAGUCUACCCAUGAGUCAUUCUCUACAUACCCCAUGGAAUAAAGAUAGGAUUUCUUAGAGCGCUGUCACUUUAGUACCGAAACGAAACUCAAGCUUUUGAUUCGAGUGCCGGCUAUCUUAGGUAACGCCUACCCGCUACCUGCUACAUUAUUGAAUGCUAUCCAUCCUGCCCGAGUACCCUUACAGGCUUUAUUCGGUUCCUUCUCUGGUUCGGGUGCAGGUUCAACUCUACGGAAACCUUAACUGUAAGCUCUUCCUUCCUUUACUUACAGGUUUCCCUAAAACGAAAAGUCAAAGUAAUGAUUCCCGUCCCUGAAACUAUAAGUCCAUUGACUAAGAAGGGGCCGAGCCAAACUAUUGCUUUCUUCUCGGAUCACACGCAUGCCUUUUAGAAUGACUCGAGAGAGAAGCCGGCUAUCAAAGCGCUUCCGGCCCAUCAAAAUGAACUGUUCGGGGGUGUUUGUGUGUUGGUCUAUCUAGGUUUGGUAGUGCCCCAAAGGUAGUUGCCCCAUCUCUCUUCCACCCUUUCCCGGCUCACUCAUUAUGCAAGCAAGCAAAGAAGCAGCUGGAUAAAUAAUAUUCAUGGGCUGGCUGGGAUCCAAUAUUACUGGAUCAGUAUCUAAAGCAGUUUCAAUAGAAUCAGGAGGAUGGUUUCGCUAUUAAAGUCUUCGUCGUAUCGGCUAAUGGAAAGGGAGUUUCAGUUGAGUCCGGAAAAGAAGCUAUGCCCAUUGAAGAAUAAGAAGAUCAAGGGAGUAGAAUAUAGAAUCGAAUAUGGAGCAGGAUCCGGUGAGUAAGAAAGAGCUGUUUCAACAGAAGAAACUGUUCGAAAGCUCUGGUCAGCUGCUUUAUUGCCUUAUAGCUCUGGUCAGCUGCUUUAUUGCCUUAUAGUGAUUGUCCCGCGGAAGCUAAAAGUACUGAAGUAUAGUAUCAAGCGGAACCAGAAAGCACAGAUUAUAGGCGCCAAUGAACUAGAACAACUGAUAGAGAUCUUCAAUGAUACUUUUUCCAAUUGAUUGGAUUCCCCGAGACUCUCAAUCCGCAGUAACUGAAUCUUCAUCCGGGAUCAGGCCCAGACUCAGCUGUUAGAGUUUUUCAUGCGAGAUUGGAUUUCUACAUUGCUCAUCUUCACAACACCUUUACUAAUGGGCAUUCCUCUUUCCUUCCUAUAGUGGUGGGUACAUACAUAUCUUUCAUUCAUAGGUCCAGCGAGACAAAGUAGAAAGUCUCCUGUUUAGUAUAAAGAAAGGAAGUAUUGUCUAUUCUUGAGUGAACUCACGUUAGCUGACAAAGAAAAGAAUCAAGAAUGGAGUUGAGUAGUAGCUAUAGGUCGAAGUAGAGAAAUUUGGAGCUGCAUCACAAGAACUAAACCACCUGUCGUUCUUUCUUUCGUCCUUUGUUCUCUUGCUCAUCUAGAGCAUAUGUAGCAUAGGCAGUGUUUUUAUGUUUCUUAGAGUUUUGGAUUAUAGAAUCUUAUGUAUGAUGCUUCACACAACGCCUCAUUCAAAGCUAUUCCUUCAACCUGAAAGAAGUCCAGCAAUGGUUUUACCUAGUCUAAUCGUGCUCGGUAGCAGAUGCAACUAGCGGGUUGGAAGAUGCUCGCAAUAAAUAAGUUGGCAGGAGAGGUUUCACCAACAGUAGAUGCUCGCAAUAAAUAAGUUCAGGGGCAUCUUUGCUUACGUGAGACUUGAUACUCUUAUUAAGAUAUUACUUUCUUAAAGGGCUGGAACUUGACUUCGAGCAGAAAGAAAAGAAUAGAGUCCAAUAGCACUAAACUCCCCCAUACUUUUAGCCAUUGACAGCGCUAUGCCUUGAAAGUGCCAAUGGGUCUUGCUUGCCUUGACUUUGAUUAUGGCCCCACAGGGAUUAGUGGAAUUGGUAUCGCCGAACAGCCCUUACUCAAUUCCCAAUAUUAGUAUAGCAAUAAACAAGUUAGGCUUUCUCACAAGGGUUUGUUUUUUCACUCGUAUUCUUAAGUAGGACAGUCAGUUGACGACUGUUUAUCCACUACAAGGCAAAUAAAGCCAAUAACUCCAUGAAACUAAUUAACAGAGACCAUGACUCGAGCAGAACAAGUAGACAACACUUGAACAAGCACCGAACCUAGACAUAACUCGCAAAGCCUUCAGAUACUUAUCCAUCUUGUACCGAGGAAAGUCAAACAAAAGAAUCUCUCUCUCUUUUGGAAUAGAAUAUAGGAAUUGACAUCAUAUAGGAAUUGACCUAUCAACUGGAAACUCGCAUUGCAGCAUUGAAUUGAAACUAUGUUAGCGCCUGCACCCGCACUGCUCACUUUUGCCUCUGUUCCUGCUCGUAGACUACUAAGGUAAAGGCAAUCAGUCCCUAUCUUUACAGGAAUAAGCAUAAACGGAACAAACAAGGGAAGAAAAGAAGCAUAAGUGGGACAAUCAGUGUAAGAAGGCCUAUUUGGAUAAGUUGAAUCUCUGUGCAAUUACUCUUAUAGCAAAAUGACUCAUCGAAACCAUCCUAAAGUCCAACGAAUGAAUUGACUACUAUCAUAUUGUAGUUCCUAAUACUAGAUAUCUUAUUUCCCCGCCUUACUGACAUUUCUGAUUAUUUCCCCGCCUUACCUUACCUGACAUUAAUGAAGCAAGCUAGGAGUUCACCAGUGAUUUUGCCUUGAAAGCGAAGAGGAGCAGGCUCACAUCAAAAGCAUAGGAUCUUGGAUGUCGAGUGCAAUUCCCAUAGGAGUAUGUGCUUUCCUUGGUUCGAUCCCCCGUCUAGAGUUUCAUUCAUAGUUAUGAGUUUAGGUUUCAAACAAAUAAGUCCGGAUAUGAGUCAGCUGUGUUGGAAUCAAAGAAAGGGAAGGCAGAUUCAAACCUAGUAAGCAAAGACAGUUAGGCAGCUUCUGGUGCUGUAGCUACAAUCUCAUAGUAGGUAGUUGUGCAUUCUACUAGUCUUAUAAUAGAAUAGUGGUUGGAAGCUAGUAAGUCGCGUUAUGGCCCCAGCCCAGGGAUAAACAAUCACAGACAAGAAAUCAAUACUUUCAAGAAGUAGUUUCCGGGCGAAACACUAGAAUGAAGGGAAUAAAGUCAAGAGCGAUAGACUAGGCUGUAUAGGGGAAAGUUCGACGGAAAGGCGGGAGCGGAAGAGACAAACUCAUAUAAGCAAGAAGAGAAGGCAGUAAUGUUCGUUUUAGAGCUAGAGAAGCAAAGAUCUAGAUCUGUAGUAUCCGACCCUAGUUCCGAGUUUCAGUAUUAUUGGCAUCAAUGUAUAAGUGCAAAAGAAAGGAGAGGUGGACCCGCCCUAAGAAGUAAGAGGAUCCGGAUCAAUAUUGAAAGAAGAAAAAAUGGGAUGGUGAGCCCAGUUACCGGUAGUUCUUAUUCUGGAGGAGGGUAGUGUUUCAAUCCGGUAGUUAGUAGUUCAAGAGGGAAAGAAGGGAAAUAAGGUUUUCAAGAAAGCAAGCAAGGGAAGCUAACAGGCAAGAUCAUAGGGCAGUGGUGAAUUACUAGUUUAGUGCUUUAUUCUCAUCGGUAUUGGUUCAAGUCGUUGGGGCAGGGCAGUGUUCCGUUAUGACUUUCUAGUUGAGUUUUGUACGACGUACUUCGCAUGCUAAUAUAGGUGUAACUUAAUAGUGAAUUGAAUAAUGAAAUAAACAAGUAUAAAGAAAAGACAGGAUAGGCAGCACUUGAGUUGGGAGUGACAGAGUUAGGUAGGAGAAUGGGCAUGCAAAUGAAGCAAAGCAGUAGGAGCCUAAAGCCCGGGAGCAAGAAAACUAGUCAAUAGCUCUAUGGUAUCAGCUUAAGAGUUGGGAUAGAAAUACUGAUGAUGGUGUUCGGGUGAUAAGAAUAGGAGAGUUAGUGGAGGCGAGCUCAUAGGCAAAGGCGAGAGACUAAACCGGGAUGUCAGAAAGGAGUAGAAGACCUGCAGUUAGUGUUAGAGGAAUCAAAGCAUAGAUCAAGUUCUCAAGUAAGUAGUGUGAGGCUAAGAGGAAGGAGCCGCAGCCUUGUUAGCAACGGUUUUGUUCUCGUCCCCAGGCAGUGAAGCCCGGGUUCUUAGUUUGCUCUAUCAGCCUACAGUAUCGUUUUGGAGUUAGGGGAAGCAGACUAAACUAAAGAGAUAUAGAAUGCAAUACAAAGAAAAUAAGCCUAAGUCAUAGGGCAGACCUCAGUAAUAGGGCAGAGGUGAGCUCCGGAGUUUUCAAUAAAAGAGAGGCAGGCNNNNNNNNNNNNNNNNNNNNNNNNNNNNNNNNNNNNNNNNNNNNNNNNNNNNNNNNNNNNNNNNNNNNNNNNNNNNNNNNNNNNNNNNNNNNNNNNNNNNNNNNNNNNNNNNNNNNNNNNNNNNNNNNNNNNNNNNNNNNNNNNNNNNNNNNNNNNNNNNNNNNNNNNNNNNNNNNNNNNNNNNNNNNNNNNNNNNNNNNNNNNNNNNNNNNNNNNNNNNNNNNNNNNNNNNNNNNNNNNNNNNNNNNNNNNNNNNNNNNNNNNNNNNNNNNNNNNNNNNNNNNNNNNNNNNNNNNNNNNNNNNNNNNNNNNNNNNNNNNNNNNNNNNNNNNNNNNNNNNNNNNNNNNNNNNNNNNNNNNNNNNNNNNNNNNNNNNNNNNNNNNNNNNNNNNNNNNNNNNNNNNNNNNNNNNNNNNNNNNNNNNNNNNNNNNNNNNNNNNNNNNNNNNNNNNNNNNNNNNNNNNNNNNNNNNNNNNNNNNNNNNNNNNNNNNNNNNNNNNNNNNNNNNNNNNNNNNNNNNNNNNNNNNNNNNNNNNNNNNNNNNNNNNNNNNNNNNNNNNNNNNNNNNNNNNNNNNNNNNNNNNNNNNNNNNNNNNNNNNNNNNNNNNNNNNNNNNNNNNNNNNNNNNNNNNNNNNNNNNNNNNNNNNNNNNNNNNNNNNNNNNNNNNNNNNNNNNNNNNNNNNNNNNNNNNNNNNNNNNNNNNNNNNNNNNNNNNNNNNNNNNNNNNNNNNNNNNNNNNNNNNNNNNNNNNNNNNNNNNNNNNNNNNNNNNNNNNNNNNNNNNNNNNNNNNNNNNNNNNNNNNNNNNNNNNNNNNNNNNNNNNNNNNNNNNNNNNNNNNNNNNNNNNNNNNNNNNNNNNNNNNNNNNNNNNNNNNNNNNNNNNNNNNNNNNNNNNNNNNNNNNNNNNNNNNNNNNNNNNNNNNNNNNNNNNNNNNNNNNNNNNNNNNNNNNNNNNNNNNNNNNNNNNNNNNNNNNNNNNNNNNNNNNNNNNNNNNNNNNNNNNNNNNNNNNNNNNNNNNNNNNNNNNNNNNNNNNNNNNNNNNNNNNNNNNNNNNNNNNNNNNNNNNNNNNNNNNNNNNNNNNNNNNNNNNNNNNNNNNNNNNNNNNNNNNNNNNNNNNNNNNNNNNNNNNNNNNNNNNNNNNNNNNNNNNNNNNNNNNNNNNNNNNNNNNNNNNNNNNNNNNNNNNNNNNNNNNNNNNNNNNNNNNNNNNNNNNNNNNNNNNNNNNNNNNNNNNNNNNNNNNNNNNNNNNNNNNNNNNNNNNNNNNNNNNNNNNNNNNNNNNNNNNNNNNNNNNNNNNNNNNNNNNNNNNNNNNNNNNNNNNNNNNNNNNNNNNNNNNNNNNNNNNNNNNNNNNNNNNNNNNNNNNNNNNNNNNNNNNNNNNNNNNNNNNNNNNNNNNNNNNNNNNNNNNNNNNNNNNNNNNNNNNNNNNNNNNNNNNNNNNNNNNNNNNNNNNNNNNNNNNNNNNNNNNNNNNNNNNNNNNNNNNNNNNNNNNNNNNNNNNNNNNNNNNNNNNNNNNNNNNNNNNNNNNNNNNNNNNNNNNNNNNNNNNNNNNNNNNNNNNNNNNNNNNNNNNNNNNNNNNNNNNNNNNNNNNNNNNNNNNNNNNNNNNNNNNNNNNNNNNNNNNNNNNNNNNNNNNNNNNNNNNNNNNNNNNNNNNNNNNNNNNNNNNNNNNNNNNNNNNNNNNNNNNNNNNNNNNNNNNNNNNNNNNNNNNNNNNNNNNNNNNNNNNNNNNNNNNNNNNNNNNNNNNNNNNNNNNNNNNNNNNNNNNNNNNNNNNNNNNNNNNNNNNNNNNNNNNNNNNNNNNNNNNNNNNNNNNNNNNNNNNNNNNNNNNNNNNNNNNNNNNNNNNNNNNNNNNNNNNNNNNNNNNNNNNNNNNNNNNNNNNNNNNNNNNNNNNNNNNNNNNNNNNNNNNNNNNNNNNNNNNNNNNNNNNNNNNNNNNNNNNNNNNNNNNNNNNNNNNNNNNNNNNNNNNNNNNNNNNNNNNNNNNNNNNNNNNNNNNNNNNNNNNNNNNNNNNNNNNNNNNNNNNNNNNNNNNNNNNNNNNNNNNNNNNNNNNNNNNNNNNNNNNNNNNNNNNNNNNNNNNNNNNNNNNNNNNNNNNNNNNNNNNNNNNNNNNNNNNNNNNNNNNNNNNNNNNNNNNNNNNNNNNNNNNNNNNNNNNNNNNNNNNNNNNNNNNNNNNNNNNNNNNNNNNNNNNNNNNNNNNNNNNNNNNNNNNNNNNNNNNNNNNNNNNNNNNNNNNNNNNNNNNNNNNNNNNNNNNNNNNNNNNNNNNNNNNNNNNNNNNNNNNNNNNNNNNNNNNNNNNNNNNNNNNNNNNNNNNNNNNNNNNNNNNNNNNNNNNNNNNNNNNNNNNNNNNNNNNNNNNNNNNNNNNNNNNNNNNNNNNNNNNNNNNNNNNNNNNNNNNNNNNNNNNNNNNNNNNNNNNNNNNNNNNNNNNNNNNNNNNNNNNNNNNNNNNNNNNNNNNNNNNNNNNNNNNNNNNNNNNNNNNNNNNNNNNNNNNNNNNNNNNNNNNNNNNNNNNNNNNNNNNNNNNNNNNNNNNNNNNNNNNNNNNNNNNNNNNNNNNNNNNNNNNNNNNNNNNNNNNNNNNNNNNNNNNNNNNNNNNNNNNNNNNNNNNNNNNNNNNNNNNNNNNNNNNNNNNNNNNNNUUGUAGGCAGGGAGAGAAGUCCUAUUUAUAAGAAAUAGUAUUGGUAGCAGCUACGGAAGUAGGAAUCCUAGAAUCCAAGUCAGCAGCGGGAGAAUGAGAUAGCGCAGCAUUGUUUUUCGAGAUAGUUGCAGUAGACUUAGCUAGGGGAUAUCGGUGUACUGAUCUGUGGAAGCAAGGAUGCCAGUCAGGAGUCGUAGUGCAAAGUUUCAAUCAAUAGAUGGAUAAUGUAGCUAACCUGCUAUAGUCUGAGUUUAGAGCUAAGGUCCUAUGAGUUAACGGCUAAGGUAUCAGCCAACUCCCUAUAUCUGACAUUCUUAGAAGCACCUGUUGUUCUCUUAUUAGUAUAGGCAUAAAAGACAGGAUCGGUAUACUUGAAAUAAGGCCAAGAGAGUUUCUCGUAAGAAUAAGAGAUAGGGUUGUUAGAACCAAAGCCAUUAAUUUGGAGGAUAGAAGCGAGGCAGGACAGGUUCAUAGGCAAUAUUGCUAGGAUCUGUAUCCUAACGGCCUAGAAGAAUAUAAAGUACUUGUAAGCCUAAGAGUCACUAGUCGCAGAACGAAAGGCAGGACCUAAAGAAUUCAAGCGUGAGUCAAAGUUUGGUAGCAGGGAAGGGAAGGUUUAAGCCCAUAAGUAAGGAUGCCAGGGCCAAGUAACGUUUGUAGUGACUUGCCGUCUUGUCUGCUUGGCUCUUAUCUCUUCCUAGUAGUGGCUUGUGGACUCUGCGCUCGAUAAUCAAUUCAGUAUGGACUUCGCAUCAAGACUACUAUAAUAAAUGGUCAGUGAGCUCAGCUCCUCAAUUCCUAUUUGAUAUGCAAAAUGGAGAUAUUCGGCAGUUCGAGAAGAAACAGUCACUUAAUCUAUAGCAUAUUAGAACUGUGCUCAUUGGCUUACAUGAAUAAUCUCGUAUCUAGCGCAGAAGCGCACUACACUACAUGGUUAAGGCCCACUAGGCAGUUAAGCUGCGUUGUAUCUUUCAGUUCCUGUUUCAUCGUUAGUCAGAAUAGACUCCGCAGUCAGAGUUUUUUCGACAAGAUCUAAAGCGGGACAAUCCGGUUACCUUGAUUAUAUGGCCCAAGUGUACGAUAACCAGAAGUCAGAUCCUUUUUUACAACCUCUUAUCCUUAUGAAGAGCCAGAUCUUGCUUCCUAAACUGAUUGACUUGAUACUGUUUCAAACAAAAGAUGUGUAGGAUCGGGUUGACUGCUUCCUUUACCGAUAAUGGCGCAUUAGCAUUAGUCUUAUUUUCAACAGGGGUUCUGAGCGCCCAGCAGCCCUUUCGCUUGGCUUAAACAAAUAUAGGGUUACAGCAAACAAAACGAGAACGAUUGGGACUGGCAAUACUUAACGCUGCAAACUCUCUCACACCGGAAUCGGGACAGGACUAGUUGGGCCAAGUAAAACAGUAAUAGCAGUAUCAUCUCUAUCUUUAGCAUAUGAUAUAUCAGAAAGUCAUAUUAUAUAUAAUAAAGUAAAUACACUGCAUCCCUUUCUUUUGCCCCGAACAAGACAGGAAGUGAGUUCUGAACCGCUUGCAUACUUUGUCUUUGUCUCCGGGGUGGGCUGGGCACCUAUCCGAUUUUUCACUCAAUGCAGUUAGUUUAGCCGAUAUUCCAUUGCUUGUUGGGAGACAAUCAGUUACAUUGAUUCUCUAGUGACCCCUUUCUAUAUUAAGUAAGUGAAACAAGAACCCUCUCUUUCAGAUGCAGACAAUGCUUGAACGGCUCUUAGCACCUUUCUUCCUCUAAUCUAAGUGCUCUUCAAUUCCAUAAUUUCAAUGAAAUGGCACAUCAGUUCAAUUCAAAGAUCAAUCUCAUUCAUAGCUAACGGCGUGAGUUGGGGCGCUAAGGCUUAUAUCGGGGGGGAAAUCCGUUUGUCUACCAGGGAAUGAUGAAGCAGGCAGGAUCAGUUGCCGGGUCGUCUUCAAGUGGAGUUGAUUUUCCUGCGAGUGACGAUAAGCUAACGGAUCAAGUUGGCAAUGAUCUUGAAUUCCAUAAUGACACUAUAAUUAUAUGAAUGACAUGAGAGAGAUUCAAUUAAUAGCCGUUGGAUGGAUUAAAUAAAAGGUGGAUUUGACUGUUAGCUCUCAAGAAGAAAUUCCCUCUUCCGCGCGAGGUUAAGUCUAUUUCAAUAGGCCGCCUUCUGUUCUCAAAGUGUCUCGUUCGGGUUUAGCUUGUGUCUAAGCCAUCAAGGAGAGUUCAAGAAGUCGAAGAGAAUGUCCACGUAACGGAGAGCGGUAAGAACUGGUUUCAACUAAGCCCACUACACGGAGCUGUGUUGGCUACUAGAAUAUCAUUUCUUGGAAUUUCUUUUCUUAAUUGAUGUUUGAAUACGAAGUUCUACUUUUAGAAUAUGUUGAAGCCUCAUCUCAUCUCGAAUCUCAUGCGUAAGUCUCAAGUGAGUAGCGCAAGUAAGCCUAAGAAUUGCCUGUUACUGUUUCAUCCUACUUAGAAGCUGUGCCAGUGUUGUAUGCUAGAGAGGAUAUGCAAGUUUGCGAGAGAGAAAUUCCUAAGUAAUAGGCGGGUGAUGGAAAUGUAUCAUUCUUCAAUUGGACCUUUACUGCUUGAAGAUCGUAUAGACCAACUUAUGCGAGAGAAUCUUAUCCAGUUUGUUUGAUUCGGCACAAGAAGACUAAGUGAGAAAAGUAGACCUGACCGCGAAAGAGAUUGAAUGAAUUCCUGUUUGCUUGUUCGGUGUACUUCAUUCUGUUGAGUUGAAAAAAAGAAGCCAUAAGAGAAAUGGGUGUCGAUAUUCUUGACAAAAAGUGGAUUUCUAGUAAGCAAGGUCAAAUGGUUAGGUUAUUGAGUUCGUGGUGCCCAGCUUAGCGAGUUUAGGUUAGGUUAGCGAGUUAGGAAAGGAAAGUUCCAGAUCCCGAUACUGACUUAUGUGCUAAGACAUUUUCCUGGUUUACCGAAGCAUUAAGUAUUGCUAGGCCCAAUCGGAUUUGCCAUUCUCUUAGUUUACCAUGGGUUAAAGGACUCGAAAGAAGCCCACUCUAUAUAUGUAUUGUCGUUUCGUGGAGUGCAUCUUCUGCGCGUUGUCAAUCAUACUCGUCUCGUCUCUUUGCUGGGGGUGCUUGAGAAGGCAAUAAUCAUCAAGGUGUUGGUUAAGCAGUAAGUAGAUAAGGUCUUUUGCUAAGUGGAAGCAACCAUGCAGACAAGCCGACAAGCCGGAGUGUUACAACUUGUCUAUAAGGGCAAUCCAAUACUUCAGAAUGGAAUGAGUUUACUACAACUCUUGCUACUAUACCUAUAUCUGUUACUUGAAAGUCGUUUAACCAAUAUUCUAUUCCAGGGCAGGGCUGAUUGAUACGGCAGGGCAAUUCUUAGUUGAUAGUUUGAUUCUUUGUCGAGCUAGUAUAGUGGACUUUUGAACUCACUCCUACAGUUGCUCACCAGGACUUGGUUAUAACAUAUGAAUUUCGUUCCUGAACAACACUCAUUGCUUUUUGAGUAGUAGCUUGGCGCUCAAGACAGAAUUAAUGGGAAGCGCACCCCUCUCUCUGCAUCAAUGGGUUUGGUCUCUCUCUACAUCAAUGGGUUUGGUGCAAAGAUAAUCUUAUCUUCUCUCAUUAUGAUUCUCUUCUCUCAUUAUGUAGUAGUAGGAUCGUCAUCUGUCUCAGUGCCACCGAACUCGCACUUUCUCAAAGAGAUUUUCAACGACCCACUAGAUUGAUUGGGUUGGUGUGAAGAUACUCCCCAUAUAUAUAUCUUAUCGUUAUCGAAGUGAAAGCAGCUUGGAACACAACUCGUUAUCGAAGUGAAAGCAGCUUGGAACACAACCGAGGAAAAGGAGAUGAGAUCCUAUGAUUCUCCCGGAAAGUCUUAGCAGGUACGCGGGUUCUUUUGAUUUCAAUACCUUCAUCUUAGCGAUAGGAAUAAUCGAAUAUAGCUCCAUCGAUCUCGUUUUGAAUGCGACCCGUGGAUAAGAAAAGACCUAAGAAGAGCUAUUCCGUGGGCCUACUUUCCCCUUUACUAGUAACUGACAGUCACAAUACUUGGAAACGACCAAAAGAAUCAAGGUGCUGAAAGCCUAUUUCUCAAUAAGAGUAACAUGAGGCUAUCGGUCCACUAAUCAUAUGGACUUGAAUCCCAAGCCAGCAACUGAGAAAAGAGCAUAUCUUGGUGCUACCAAACCAACCCAGAAUAUUGAAAGCUGGGUUAAGGUGAUAAAAAGGGGUAAUGCAUUUAUAGAAUUCAUCAUUGGUAUAGCAGCUCUACCACCGAUGGACCAAAAACCACUGGGAAUUGCACUGGGUUCCCGGAAGGCAAUUUGAAUGCCAUACAUUUGGGGUUAUCUCUGAAACUCCUACAUCCACUGCAACAGAAUAGAGUGGAAAGUAACGCUCCCAGGUUAGCCGCAUAGGCAACGAAUUCUUCUAGUGAUUCUACAUUAACCCAUUUAGAUAUUGAUUAGGAGAUUGGAAAGCCAGGAGUGGGAACGCAGCAAGGCUUUCCGCACCUCUCUUUUGAAACAACCAUUUGAGUUCCUUCCUAAGGUUGUGAAAUAGGAAAUCAAAUCAUAGUGUUUGUUGCCUCGGUUGUAUACCUAAGUUGCUAGAUUGGGAAGGCAGAAUUGCGAAAUACCAGAUGAGUCCCAUCGUGCUUGCUAUCAGAGGCGCCCUUACCUUCAAUUACUAUAUAUCCAGAAAAUGGCACGAGCCUUGUUUCAUUUCAAUGGAAUAUAUCUCUUGCUUAGAGUUGAGAAGGAUACCCGUAAGGCUUCCGAAACGGCUAAUGAUCCUGUAUCUUAUCUAUACUCUGUCAAGCACAACAGCAGCUACGGACUUUUGACUGCCCAGAAAGGCUUUAUCGCACCCGUACUCGUAGACAACAAACAAAGAUGACUUUCGAUCAGGCUAUUCUCUAAGAUAUGAUGAAACUCGCACUAGGCGAACUAUAGCAUUUGCAUCUUGGACUUGCGCAUUAGGGGUGUAGUUGGCCAACACUGACUCUGAUCCUUCUCCUGAUCCAAUAUAAUAGACUUCACUCCAACAGAAACAUCAUUUCCUACUACCUCACCUUCUCCUGCUGAUGUCCUGGUUAUGCUCCUUCCAUUGGAGAAUCUUUAUAGAGGGCUAGUAAAUAGGGGUGAGGCAAAGCAAGAAAGAAGCAAGCGAGACUAGGACAGGACGGAAUCACCGAUCGUCAAUGAAAAAAAAGGUGAUAAUAGGCAAUGAGAAAGGCUUAUGUGAGGAUAUGCAGGGUGUAGUGUAUAGAAAACUUAUUCCAUAGCUGUAAAUUAUUGGGCAUUGAGAAGAAGCGCAGAUAUAACAUCAAUUUCCGAGCUAGAUGUAAAGUAGGAAUUUAUGCCACUCCCUUUCUGUUAGCGCCUUACUGACACCGAGUAAACUAAUAAGGAUCUUUCAAGCGCAAUUAAUUGAAGAGCAUGUAGAGUUGCAGUAUAACAAUACGAUCUCGCCCAUACUCCAAUCCUAGGAGAACUUUCCGUCUAUUCCUGGCCCUUGUGCUUACUUAGGCGAGUUUUCCACUUGUUUCUUGCGCCUUGGCUUGGCUUUUGCUUGAAAACUCACUGUUUCCUUUCUUGGGCUUUCCCUGAACCCUGACUCUCUGGUCUCUCUUUCUGUGCAACUAAAUAAUGCGGAAGUCCGGAUUGCCCUUACUAUCUUCAUAAUGCGCCCGUUGUCAAACAUCUUCUUCUAUAAUAGCCGUUGUCAAACAUCUUCUUCUAUAAUAGAGUCAAGAAGGAUCUAUCAUACUAUAGAAUCUAAUAGCUUGGGAGCCGUUGCUUUUCCUUUAGCAGAGAGUUGCUUUUCCUUGCUUGUUCUGUUUCUCACUCAUAGCAAUCUCUUUCUUUACUAAUUGACCACCUAUCUAGUUCCACUAUGUAGGCUUUUUGCUGGGAAUCUAUUCAACCAGGCAGGGACAAAGAGAAAGGGUAUCCAUCCGACCGAGUUAAUCAAGAUACUUGUUCCAUUCCAAAGCACCCGAUGCAGAGUAAUGGUUGCCAGAGAGAGAAGAGAAUAGGAGGGAUCGGGNNNNNNNNNNNNNNNNNNNNNNNNNNNNNNNNNNNNNNNNNNNNNNNNNNNNNNNNNNNNNNNNNNNNNNNNNNNNNNNNNNNNNNNNNNNNNNNNNNNNNNNNNNNNNNNNNNNNNNNNNNNNNNNNNNNNNNNNNNNNNNNNNNNNNNNNNNNNNNNNNNNNAGAGCGAGCCAGGUGGGCUUCCUUCCUUUCCUUGCAUGGUGAAACUUCUCUGGGAAGAAAAGAAAGGACUGGGACUCGAGAUAUAUGAAGAGCGGGGGACUGCUAGAAGUUACUACAUUCCCUCUAAGCUGAACCUAUACCUCGAACUGCGAUCAUCACUAUCCACACGUAAAUCAGGAUCCAUCAUUGCUGGCCACCCAGGCGGUUACCAACCAAAGCCAAUUGGACUCGACCCGGGAAAGAAUGUACUGAUCCUAUCUUAUCUUCUGCUCGCUUGUGAUCAGAGGAGCCGAGCACCUACCAAGAAUGCAGCUGCUUUAGACAGACAAUGGAGGAAUCGAAAGACAGAUAUGGACCUUUUCUCUGGAUGCUACCUUCCUUUCCCCUGCUGCCUUCUUUAGAAGCAAGGAAAGAGCUCUCAUAACCAGCGAAUUCUAAUAAGGGGCUUGCCUUCUUUAGAAGCAAGGAAAGAGCUCUCAUAACCAGUUCGUAGGCUAAGUGAGGUGAGCUGAUCGAAAAGCAAGAUAGGCGCUCAGUGAUCUACGGCCGAAAGAGGGAAUAGGUGCUUUUAGUUUGAAAGAGGACAGGGGGCCAAGCAAACUCUGAAAGGCUUUCCCUGAAUUAUAGGACACUGAAGUAAAUGUUUCCUUUCACAGGGCAUGGGCUAGCGUGUGCAAGCACAUAAUGCAGGAGGACACAGACCCACUAUGCUGGGGGAAACACAAACUUCAGUACAAGAAACCUUGACAAAAAAAGCAUAAAAAGAACCUACAAUGGACAAUAGAUGUCGUCCGAAAGAUGAAGUAUUUGAAAGAGUGGGAACAAGUCUAUGAGGAUCCGGAAUUGCAGGCUAACCUCAUAAGGAACAAGAAUGCACUCAAAACCUUCUUCGAAGAAACAAGGUGGAUAACUAAUGAAGGAAAACAAGCAACAGAGCAGAUUCCAACUUGACUUUAAGGAUCAAAACCAUCUAAAAGAGUAUACCUUUGCUUAUUUAGGGGAAAAAUCUCUCUUCCUAGUUCGGGCUUGCAAUCUCAUCUUUGACUCUGCCCAAGCAACUACAACUAUAUGGGGAGACUGCCACACAAAAAACACUCAUGUGCCAAAUGCUUAGCGCUGUCCUAUACACCUAUUCACCCAGUGCGAGAUUCUAUGAUUUCCGUGUGGCACAUGACCAUUAUGAUCUAUGGAUUUUCGAUGAUUUCUAUUUCGAAGAGGACUUUUCAAAAGAGGUAAAAACCCAUCCAAAUACUAUGGCUGUAAAACUAAGCUCACUACUCCAAAUACUUGAUGGACAAAAAUGCAGGUUGGAUAGGAAGGAUGGAACACCUUUCCUCAAAAAGCAAAAUGUGCCCAUUAUUGUAAUCACCAAUUUGCCCAAUGCUAGUAUGUGCUACCAUGGAAACUUCAAUGAGAGAUUAGGAAGGUGUAAGUUGAGUUCAAAGAGAAUAGAGCUUCUAGAAGAAAGGGUUAUAGCAACUUUCUACGGAUGCAUACUAAGGAGGCUACAGCAGAAAAAUCUCCAUUUGGGGAAAGUGCUAAGAACAUCCAAAUAAUGUACAAUGAGGAGUGGGGGCACAGAUCGAAUAUCCUCUUGUAGGUGAGAAGAAACAAAUAGAGACAGCCCUAAAGCAAGGAAGGAUGGAGAAACUCAUCAAACACGGGGAUAGGGGAUUGGUAACCAAAAAACAGAAUCCAAUAGCACAAAUACAAGUCAAAAGAAAGCUACUUGAGGAACAAAGGGGAGGAGAAUUGGCACUUUAUUGCACAUAUGCAUCUAAAGCUGUUAACCGAAAGAAUGCAGGAAAAAGGAACACUCACUGCUUUGGAGUUCGCAUACGUACCACUAAAGGAUAGCUUACAACUUCAAACAAUACAAAACCAGCAAAUCACGUGGAAAAUGAUGUUGCUCUUCAAACACACAUGGAGACCUGUAGCUAUAGGAUGUCUUGAGCAAGAGCACGACACGCGGAGCUACCUGUGGUGGAGAAACCCAGAGAGCACCAACCAAAAGGAACUCACCAAGUUGAAAACUGUCUUUGCAGCGUGGCCGGUGCAAGCUUAUGUCGAGGACUUUUCCCAAUCCAUAGCAAUGAUGCUCACUUUGGGAAAAUGAAGAGAAUUGGCUGCCAAGGGAAUGGUUACAGAGCAAACCAAUUAGCUCCAACUCUCACUCGGAGCAACCGGAAAAGGAACUCGAGCCUCAAAGGAAAGGGAUCCGAGAAUGCGCUAGUUCCUUUAAAAGCUUAUUACUUACCUAUUGAGGAGUUGAAUAUCUGAAAUACAGGUACCGGAGUUUGGAGUUGAGAGUGGAAUGAAAUAAAGGCACCUGGCCAAGAAACUACUUAGCUACUACCCUGCUUCUCUAAUACUGACUUGUCUUAUACUUACUUAUACUUACUUAUACUUACUUGUCUUAUGGAUACUCAAUACUCCAUCGAAUCUAACUCAGGCUACAAAUACUGAUGAAACUAGACCACUACAAGGGAAAGCAGAGCAUUCAAGUUCAGGUCAGGCGGAGGCAUAAUAGGGUUAUGGUAUCGGUGAACAAGUAAGCUGUUCAGAAAGUGGAGUUCGAGGAGAGUCUCCCACCAAGAUAAGAUACUGGACCGGAUACUCUGAUUCAUAAGAUGAUCUGUCUUCUCUUGCACCUAGUAUAGAGACCUGUAAAUACAUUCCUUCCCGCGCGUUGUCUUGUUGCUGAUUUAGUAGUUGAACGUUGCGUGUCAGUCAGUUCGAGUCUACUUCUGCUCGAGGUUAAGUAAUCACUGCUCGCUCUAGGUCAAAUGCGUUAAGUAAUCACUGCUCGCUCUAGGUCAAAUGCGUAAGGAGAGGGUGUUUCAAUUCCUGCUUGGUCACUUAGUAUAGUUGGGCCUGUCUGUGAACAAGCAUCAGUUCAAUCCCAUUCCGCUUCUGCGCCUACACUAGAAAUCUUCGAUUAAUCAUUCCGCAGCUUCCGUAUUGCCUGUUGAGUUUAGUUCAGAAAGACGUAGUCCGCUAGGGAGUUUCAAAGACAAAGCUCUGUGCUCUCAAGAUGAAGUGCAUUUGGAAGGUGAAGACUGUUUAGAUCGUAAAGAAAGGGGCAAUUAGAGGUAAGAGUGAUCCUAGAGGUAAGGUAAGAGUGAUCCUAAUCCUGCGCUAAGAUCUUUGAAUGCUCCUCUGCCUUAACAUCUUUUCCUGCUGGCUGAUUGGAAUGUGACUGAUGCUUCUGCGCCAAGACCCUAAGUUUCUGCACUAAAAUCAAGUUAUUGCUCUCAUCUCACUCUAUUUCUUUUCUAACUGAAUGAGGCUCCUCCAACUUUCUUCUUAUCCUAUAACUCUACUCUUUAGCUUAGCGGGCUCAACACCCUUUUCACUUAUUGCUUUAACCGAGCUGUCAAGACAGACUGUAAAGGCAAUCCGAAGUCAACUAAUUCCAUUCUUAUAUACAAGUAAGGUAGGCAAAAACAGUACUAUAGCAAGAACGAAUUCAUGAAAUCUAUCUCACUCACCCAUUAUCUAAUAGGAAUGUCAUAGGCAAACUAGAAUGGAAAUUGAACUUACAACUAAUAGAGUCAAGAGCAAGAUCAAAUAAUAGAGUCAAGUAUUCAAGGGGUGCGUGCGUGAGUCUCGGAGUUGUUGUCUGAGUCCUGUAGUUGCUAGUUAUAGCCUCAGUAGCGGUGGUAUCAGUCUGGUCGGUACCGAUUUAAGCCUGCCCGGCAUCGGUUGAAGGCUUGUUAGCAGUCAUCCCAUAUAAGAAGAUAUAGAAUUAUCAUCUCGGCAAGUAACUCGGAGAGCCAAGGCCUCAAACUAAACUAUAAUAAUAAACGAACAUAAACAGUUAUGUUUGUUCUCUUACUCCCUAUGCGUUCGGUGACGCGGCAGUCCCUUCUGCUUUCCUAUAUGAAGUUCUCCUAUGUUUCCCAUAUUGUGUCAGUAGAGCGUAAAGAUCACUUGGUUUUCGCCAUAAUGAAGCUAUUCUUACGGUGUUAAGUCCACUCUACCACUCCAUUCUUUAGUUCAAUACUUCUAGCUUCCUCGCCUCAAUCCACUCCCUUCCCUUACCCCUACUAGCUCUUUCCCUUACUAGCCCCGAACACAGGACCACUGACUUAAGGCUUACUACUAGACUACCCCUUACUAGCUCACCGAUGAGUUUCAUUCCGACUAGCUCAACUCUGAGUUUCAUUCUUAUAUUACUGAGGUUCAUUCCUAUUUUCCUACUAGCUCACCUCCGAUACUGGUACUGUUGACUACUUACUCCCUUCUUCUGGGCUUACUUCUGAUUAAGGGCUUCCUUCUUCGGGGAAUCGUUGGGCAAUGGGUUCCUUUUGGCCAUACUCCAUUCAGUAUUUCUCCUUAUAACUGCCAACACCAGACUUUCGAACUAGAACUGUAAACUCCCUUUGUUACUAAUUUGUACUAUAGGCAGAGUAUAGCUGUUACUAAAAUGAGUAUAAGUAAGUAUGGGUGUGACUAAACCAGUGUUACUAAUUUCUUUAGAUCAGAAGAAAACCGGAACUACUUGCUUUCCGGAGCAGGAAAGUAUCUCGGAACAGGCGCGGCGGGCAGGAAUCAAUGACCACGACCACUACUUGGUGGAAACCCUUAUUUCUAUCGAACUACAUCUUCUUAAGGGCCUGUACGGGCAACCACCUCAGCUCAGGCUCUUCUCUUGUACUAUAGCCUAGCUCUUCUCUUGUACUAUAGCAAUAAAGAAGAAUGGAGCAGUACUAAAGGAGUGUGACAUCUUCUACUUCUAUUACACCCCCACCCCUAAUAGAUUGAUUCGAUAUACCACCCCCGAUGACAUUGAAAAUAGUCCGAAAAGCCACUCCACCCUAGUAAUAGGAAUGAAGCAAAGCCCACACCCAUCCAUGUCUUGUCUAUCCGUGUCUUGGCCUGUUUCUUUAAUUAAUGGUUUACUUACCGCAAUUUAUACACUGGUACCUGAGUUAGGAGUUCCACUUGUCUAGUAGUUACCUGUCCCUGGUAGUACAAUUCUAUUCCAGUUAUGCAAAUAGAUAAUCUCUUCUAUUCCAAUUAUGCAAAUAGAUAAUCUCCUCUAUUACAAUUCCCACUCUGAUCCUCUAUCUAAGGCUCACACAGGACUUAGAAUAAGGCUUACCCAGAGUAUACUAGUUGGGGCUCGGAAUAGCUUACCACAAACACAUAGCCAGUGGGCAAGCAGGUAGGGAGCCCUGAACCAUAAAGAUGCUAGGAAUAAAUUCACUAUAACAUCACUUUUAGAGUGUUAUGGGAAAUCACAUUAAAAACAUAAGAAGUUGUGAAAUAGUUCAUUUAUUAUUAAUCAAAUUGACCCUUUCCUUCUCGAGCACACAAGGAGACUAUAGUUAGUCAAGUUAUGGCUCUGGACCACUACUUAAAGGGGAAUUUCUACUAGUUGGGGCAUUAUUGACUACCUUACUUUUGCACAACAUCUGCUCCUGGUCGAUGAAACUAAUGAACUGACAAGUAACUGAGUGGCGAGGCCAAGCAAUAUACCGCCAGAACCGGAAAGAACUCAAUACAAGUCUCAAGUCAGUGGGCAAAUGAUUCUGUUUCCGGGGUAUUAGUUUGAUUCAAGAAGCUUAGGCCUACUUUGGAGCACUUAGGUUGGUGAGAUAUAGUUCCAUUAUUCUGUAGAGUCUCAUUCUUAGAUACAGAGAGUCUCAUGAGUUUGAUAACUUCUUUCUUUCUGUAGUUUGAUAACUUCUUUCUUAUAUAAUACCUAGACUACUACUAGUUGGGGCAAGAACUAUACUUUCUUGAAUAGCUGACCAACUUACUAUAAGGGCCUCGUAUACUUGCUACCCUCUCAUAAACUACUGGCUCCUUAGUUGCGAGUUACUUGUCAGCUUGUCCUGUCCGAUUCCCGCCUUUGUAGUUGUUGAUUGUCCCCUAGUUCAAUGAAAAACAAGAGAAAAACGAGUUCCAUUCCGCCUAUACGCACACUGUAGAUUUCAACUGGCCUUAGAAGUCAUUUCUUCCUAACAUCUUGACCCUAUUGCUCUGGAAACUAACCACUCCAGUUUUCGGCCCUCUCUUCUCUUUCAUUCCAACUACUGAGGUCCAUUCUGAUUCUUUGAUUACUUAGGUCAGAGUUCAGUUCCAUUCCGAGUCUUAUACUUAAUACGCGGCACAACUCAGUACUUCUGGACUACUACUUUGAUUACUACUUUAAAUAAGGUGCUGAAAGCCUACUACUGGAGAUUCCACUUUACUACUACAAUACUUGUCAGCUGAAGACUCAACUAGGGAUUUCACUAUAACAGGUAAUGAAUAAGCUUCUUCUCAAACUUAGCUUGAUGGUUCCCUUGCCCACCUCUCAUAACCAUACUUUAGAACAGGAACUAGAAAAGUACUACUACGACUUAUGAAUCAACGGAACUUCUAGCUCAGCUCCUUAAGCUAGUGUUCUGUCAACUAACAACUACUGAUGAAACUUAACUACUUAGGGCUUUCAAAACCAUGCCAAUUACGUAAGGGCACUGGACUUGUAUACCAAACCCACCCCUAUGACCUAUCACUAUUACUUAGAGCUAGAGCACCAACCCAACCCUCGAAUGAAACCAGUUACGAAAACCAGACUCGUUACUAACUGCUAGAGCAGAGAGAGUUAGCUUCGCCUCUGUCAACUAAUACUGUUAUGGCUCUCAUCGCAUCUACCGGAGUCAACUAAUACUGAUUCUAUAGGACUUACUACAACUGGGCUGCUACUACCUGGGCUUGUAUACCCCAACUAUCUCUUCUCGGGAAAGCCUUUCACUCCUCUGUAAACUGACACUCUCAACUGACCUUACCGACCGCUACCUCUCAUUCUUAUUUCGAUUGAAAACCUCUAACUUGACACUUGCGUAACACCCUUAUUGAUUUAUUUCCUCGCUCGCCAAGCCAACACACCUAUUGAUUGAAACCAUAGUAUCGGUAUAACAUACAAAAAACACAGUGACUUAGGGGACAUCACUCAUUCAUUCGUAACAGGACCAUCGCUUAUGCAUUUAAGAUAAGAGGAAACAAUUGACAUAACACUACACUGGCACAACCACAUACCCAAGGGAGAAAUAAACACAAACACACCUAUUGUUGCUAAUGAAACGCCGCCGUAGACAGUUCAAUUCAAGUUGGAGUCUGCGCUAACGGUAAGCCUUUAAUCAAAUCAUCUUUAUAGGCGAAACCCCUCUGAACCUUUGCCUUGCCUUCUAAAGCACCCAAAGAGACUCUAAGAACAGAAAGAAGGAGACUCAUAUGAUCUCGUCGACUGGAAUGGAAUUGCACUGUUUCUUCGCUGACCCCUGACUUGUGCUACUGACUUUAGACUAAACCUGCGACUCAAUGAGUUCUCAAAACAAGCGAUGCUGAUUGUUUACCUUUUUAUGCUUCUUGUUUACUUUUGUCUAUAUUAGAUGAUGAACGCUAGAGUUUUCUAUUUGCCAUUACGCGUUAAGCUUUGUUUUGAGUUCGCCUCGUUAGCUUACUUACUUGUGCCUUAGUGUGUUAGCAAGUGAGUUUCGGAGUGGAAUGUUAGGUCACUCUUCUCUUUUGGGGCGCCGGGCAAGAACAAAAGUACUAUGGUCUAGCGAUAGCGGUGGCCUAGCUGAUGAUAGAUUCAAGGUUAGAGUCUGGGCUGAUGAUAGAUUCAAGGUUAGAGUAAGCUGUGAAGAAGCAAUGCUGUGAAGAAGCAACACAAGCAAAAUACUAUAGCUUACUACAGUUUGGCAGUCCGGAAUAGAGUGUUUUUACUCCAAUUAUAUCGACAGAAUCCACUAGCGACGGAACAAGUAAGUGUGUUAGCUAGUUAGUGAAUUAAGUGAGUGACUAGAAUAAGGUCACUUUUUCACUCUAUAGUUAUUAAGGUGCCUUGGGUGCCGAUCCUCUCUUCAACAAGCAACUAAGAUAAGGACAAUAUGCAUUAUAUGAAGUUCAGAGGGAGUUCCGUUUUCACCUACUACAGCUUUUGCUUCUAUCAUACAAUACCUCGAUCCUCAUUCAGUUUAUUCUGUUGAGAGUCUAAUUCUUCGUUUUAAUAGCACUUAGGUUGGUUCAGAGCACUAGACUAUAGGGUGGUUGGUUACCUGAAUGGAAUCUAUUCUACAGAACAGAGCAGCGGGGAACAAGAAUUAUGUCAGUAUCUUCUCUUGCAACUGAUACUAUACUUUCCACAGCCAAGGAACUACUACAAACACGGAUUCUACUGGAGAUUCAACUAGAGCAGGUAAUUAAUAAACGGACUUUAGAACUGACUGAUCUAGCAGAUUCUCUUUCUUCCCUUGCGUACCUCUACUCUGGUUACAAAUCAUUCUUAAACAGAAACUUACCUCGCACAGGACUACCGGGGGACAAGCUACUACUAUACAAGUAAACAGGACAUUCUCCCUACUAUACAAGUAAAGGAACAGGACAUUCCCCACAACACCUAUAGCUUCAACACGUCCUGUGCUAAUACCAGUUCACAGGCUCCUGCCGCGCAACAUUAGGAGUUGCUUGGCCCUUCCCAUCUAGGAAAAGAGCAAAGAAU